RNAcentral lists this long non-coding RNA (46098 nucleotides) under Setaria viridis. RNAcentral describes it as "long non-coding RNA (SVIR_LNC000199)". The record is from RNAcentral. Lineage: Eukaryota; Viridiplantae; Streptophyta; Magnoliopsida; Poales; Poaceae.
UUCGGUCAUGAAGAAAAUUUAACACCAGAGUUUUAUAACAAAAGAACAACAGAGAAAACACUAGCGGAAGACUUCGUCGGGGUCGGACGUCCGGGCGAGGCCAGCCAGAACAUCACUGAAUCCUCUCCUCACCGUCCGAGGAGGGGUCCCACUCGACCGUCCAGCCUGGCGGGAGCUGGGGCGGCCAAGCACCAACAAGGGAGGGGUCGGGAACUGCAACUUCACCUGAAAAGCAGGAGCCACAACAAGGCUGAGCUACUAAGCUCAACAAGACUUAACCGGGGAGGAGCCAACUACUCUUCCAACUAGACAUGCAAGGAUUCUUGGCUGAGGGGUUUGAUUUGCCAAAAGCACUAAGCAACCUGUUUUCCAGUUUUAGCUCCGGUUCUAUAUUUACUUACCAGUCUAGGUUGUGCAACCUAUUCUAAGCAAACAUCGAGCCAAACAAGUGUAUAGAUAGAAACAACAACAUUGCCAUCAUCAGAUUCCUCAUUUACUCAGGGUGACAUGGCGAUCAAGUAAUCUCAAACUGUGAGAGGCAGACGAAUCGAUUCGAGUUCUUUAACCAUGCAUGGUGAACCUAGCCCCACGACAUCCGCGCACCCGGAGGUCGCUUCCUGUGUCGACCUUCCCCAUCGAUCCCCUAACCCGUGUCGGGCCCAUUUCCUUUGGUGCAAGGCUCCACAGACCCGGCCUCUGCCGUCCUGUGACCACUCUUUGCCACCACGUGCGACAACCAGCAGGGGAAACUCCGUUCCAAGAACAAUGGGGCGACCGUUCACGUCUAGGUUCAAUCAGGUAUUAGGCUUCCUCAUCCCAUACUAAGUAUGAGGCUAGUACUUUCAAACACUUGAUCACGAACACCACCACUGUCGGGCCUUAGCAAGUUUUCAUAGACAGACGGGGCAACCAUCCAACCACCAAAGAGUUACCAAACCCUGCCCCGUCCACCGUCCUUACAGUUGUAACAGGAGAGUAAAACAUGCAACUCCUACAACUCGCGAGUGACAGGAGAUCACUCGGCUUUUACCGUCUCCUAAUUAAGCAAUGCAGCUAAUCGGUCCAACAGCUAGUGCUCAUAUCAAGGGUUACUAAGUCAUGCAUCUAGGGUUUCACACAACUCCUAAACGUAAAUGCACAAACGUGCUAUUCGGAAGGCAUGUGCAAGUUUGACAAGAACACAUAGGAUCUUCAUGCAACCGGGGCUUGCCUGCAAACAAGGAAGGUGGAAACUGCUCGACUUCGGGGGCGGCUUCGACUUCAGCGGGCAGGAACUCGGCUACUGCUUCUUCUUCGGGCGUCGGGUGCAGCUCGUAGAAGCCGUCAGCGAGGUGCAGCUCUACACGAAUGCAAUGCAAGGGUUAGCUUAAACGUUUUGAUUUGACAGCAACACUGGCUCUCCUGAUCCCAGAAACUUGCGACAAAGAGCAGGAGGUGGAGACUGUUUGAGGGAGCUGAUGAUGAUCAACAGGUAAGGGUAGGAAGGAACUAGUGGUCUGAUCCUUGAACUAGAGGAUGUGAUAACAGGGAUCCUCAGACGUAGGCGCUGAGGGGUUCCCACGUUUUACACUUACACCCUCAAGUUGAAGAAAAAGAUCAUAGCCAGACCCUCGGGUGAGGCGGACAAGGGUCGGCAAACAGACAGGGUCGGACGAGACGGAACUGGGGUCGGGCGGGUAGAAGGGGUCGGGCGAAGCAGACUUAGGGUCGGCACUCACCUUCUUCCUGAAAGGAAAGCUUGGGGUCGGGAAGAGGCAGACUUGGGUACGGAACUAAAGCUUUGGAACAGGGACUAAGGCCGGCGAUGCUCCGGCGGCGGUGCUUCUUGCGGAUCACAAGAGAGCUCUUGCGCAGCACAAGGGAGCAGGCUGCGGGGUGAUUUGGAUGAACUGAGAAGGAACUGGGAGAAGAACUUCUCAAGACUGGGCGGAUGGCACUAGGAGCUUGAGCAGGGAGCUAGAGGGAACUAAGGGCAACAAAGGCGGAGGGAACUCCGGCGAUGGGGGCAUUCCUUUUAUAGCUGCGGGAGCAGAGGAACGGAAGCGUCGCGGAGAGAGAGAAGGGAAGUGACACGAAGGCCAGGGAGAAGCAAUGGAGUGCUCUGCCGUGGCGGCGAUUGAGCAAACCGGGCGGUGCAACAGAACUCCGGGGGUGACGCCAGCGAUCAUUGCGCUACUCCGUCAGGGCGGCGUAGGCGCGGGUAGACCGGUAGUUGAGAUUUGGCGGAAAGCGGGCGUCGCCGUGCGGAAGAGGUGAUAGAAGUGACCAGUUAAACGGCGCUAGGAUCGAGGGCGCACAGGUGGGAGAACAAGCGGACGCGGCGCGGGGGAGAGCGCGGAACAACAGAUUGUCGGGCAGCGUCUGACAGGGCGGGGGAAAGGAACUGUCGCGGCCGCGGUCGUGGUUGGCGGUGGGGGAAUCGUCGUGUAGCGACGACCGGGCGGCGCAACUGUUGCUGGAAAGGACGGAAAAGACGGGCGACAUCGGUCUCCGGGGCUGAGAUCUGGUAUCGUGAUGAUGGGCGCGGGGAGCGAGGCUCUGCAGAAAGGGGUGCAGAGGGCUUCCGCUGCUAUUGGGGAAAAGGGCGCGGGAACCCACUCGGUCGCUUGCCAGAGACAAAACUGAGCGGUGGCGUCGGAGAAGACGAGCCACGUGGCAGGAAAGCUCUGAGGCGGCCAUGCAACUCGAGUGCGGCUGAUGCGGGGGAUCUGGAAAAGAUCUCGCGGGUCCACCGGGGAAAAGAUCGGACGGGUGAGGAAGAUUAGCAGGAUCCGACGGAUGGCUGGACUCGCCAGGGUCGGGAACAGGAACGAAGCGGUAGGGGUCGGAUCUCAGGGGUCGGAACUGGCGGAAGACUGAGCACUUGGGUGCGGUCAACAGCACAACUGACUGAGGUGAAGGGCUGAGAUCAAAACCUAACUGGGAGAGAUUAGGGGUCGGUCGUUACAGGGCUGCAAUCGGAACUAAGCAUCAGCAGAAGCAUCCUGCAAAGGCCAACACCACAGGCAGCGUUGGGUGCGGGCACGACCUUCUACUCGAGAUCCUCGGCGAUGUAGUCCGGGUCUUCCUCUAAAGCAACAAAACAAGGGUGAGUACGAAAGUAUUCAACAAGUUCAACCCCAUCCACGGAAGGGGAUACAAGCAAGAAUAUGCACAGGAUAUAACAAGGAUGAGGUUAAGGUUCAUUUGCAAUAAAGCUAGAUUUUCAACACAUGCAAGGGUUCAUUUUCAAAAGAGUUUUCGCAAAGCAUUUCCUUUAGUAACCGGAACAUUAAGUGGGGUUGAUCCUACACAAAGGAUCCAAAUUUUAUUGCUAUCGGACUCCCCGUCCGCCAUAGCUCAUGGCACAACUGCCGGACACUUCCAAAAUCCAACACACGCCAUAAAAACCAUCCAUCUCCAAGUGCUAGUUAUGUGACCAAGCCGUAACUCGUCCAAUAUCGUGGACACGGCUACCCGAAUAGGUUUUAGCUCUGCAGAGGUCGUACACUUUUCCCACAAGUAGGGUACCGCAGCACGAUCACCUUAGUGCCGGUGCGGAUCCUAACAAAGCCAUUACCCACCUUAGCUAAGACUGACUAGUCCACACGGAAGCAACCAAGGGGUUAACGACCUACCAACGAGGUCGUAACCGGGACCUAAGUCACAAAGAUCUUACUCCUUUUCCAUGGGCUCCCGUUGCUCACCAGCUCACCUGAAGACUAACAGUUUUUAGCUAGUGGGAUUUAUGCUAAGCCUUUGCCGCAUACAAUGGUUGAGUGGUUGCACGAAGGUUGGGUUAGGCAAGAUGACACAUCAACUCGGUCCUUAACCAUGACAACAUGGAUAUCUCCCAACCUUGCUCAACCACCAAGGUACGAGCCCAACAUAAUGGCAUUUCACACAUGAAACACCCAUCCAUCUCAUCUAAGCAUCUCUUUCCUUUACCUCCAAAGAACCCAAUUUCCCUUUUUAAAACACUCACACAUUUAUUCUUUAACAAAACACAUUGUGGUCAUGAUUGAAUUGAGCAUUCUAGCAGUAAUUAUCAUCCAAACAGAGCAAGUCAUAUUUAGAGAUAAUUAUAGGACAAGCAAGGAAUAAUCAUAACAAUCAACGGGUGGCUAUCCAACCAUGUUUCAGCGGUAAAAUAAUAUGCACUUUAUAAAAAUAGGAUAAUAGGUUGUGUUUGAAAAACUAGGAUAAAUAUGCAUCAAAGGGUGAGACUAGACUUGUCGUUCUCAAAGCCUUCCGGGAGUUCCUGGUCGCGGUACUGGUCCUCGAGCUCGGGCUCGCGGUGAAACUCCUCCUCGUGCUCCUCCUCGGGUACUCCGCGAUCUACGGCACACAAAAUCGAGCACACAAUAAAUAAAAGAGAAUUAAAAUUUUUCCCAUUGAGCUACGAAUAGAAAAUGCGAACGGAAAAUUGAAGGAGUGAGUAUUUUCAUGAAAUUGCCUCGGUGUAAGUAUAUGGUAGGAGGCCAUGGUCGAAUUUGGGAUCAAUUGGAGGAAGUUUGACGCAUGAAAUGACGAGUUAAAGGAGUGUUAGGGGCUUAAAACAAGGUUUAGGACUGAACUGCGAGAAGUAGGGACCUAUUUGUAAUUAUUUAUAAAAGGUAGGAGGGCGUAUCUGCGAGACUUCUUUGAGGGAGUUGGAAGGGCCGGUUUGCAAAUAAGGGAACUGGCGGGUUAGAUCCAAAUUGAAGGGAGAUUUUCCCUUUCUUCUUCCUUGGUCCGGUACAGGAGGUGGGAAGGGAGGAAACAGGGGGGGGGGGGGUCGGCCGGGCCACGCUGCCGGUGGCCGAGUGGUGGAGGGGGUAGAGGAGGUCGAGGGGACUCCAUUUGAGGCCUCACCUCGGGUGGAUGGUGUUGGAGGAGGGGGGGUGCCGGCACAGUCAAGGAGCAGGGGCCACGGGGGUGUGGGCGGUAGGCAAGGGGGCAGCGCCGGUGGUGGUGUGGAGGCGGCAGGGGCUCGGCCCCCUUUUUAUAGGUGCCGGGAGGAGCUCGACAACCGGCGGCCUUCAAUGGAGGCCGAGAAUCCCGGCUGAUGGCGUGCCAAAGUGGAGUUUCGCGUGAAUGGCGUGGUGGGGCCCGGCUCGGUCGAUGAGGAGCAUAGGGGCGACGACCGACGGCCGACGAUGGGACGCGGGUGGCCAGCCGAGUAGCUCGGCGCGGGCGGCGGCACGCGGCAUGACACGUGCGGGGCCGAGCGCGAGAGCGGCCAGGCACGGCGCGGGGCCAGGCGUGGGGUUGGGCGCAGGCGCGGGCGGCCGGGCGAGCGGCUAGCGCCAGGCGCUAGGCGCUAGCGCCAGGCGCCAGGAAGGGUGCGCCAGGAAUGAAGGGAAGGAGAGAAGGAAAACGAAGGAAGAAGGAAGAGAGAAGAAAGAGAAGCAAGGAAGGGAGAAAAAGAAAAGAGGAAAAGGGGAGGGAAAAAAAGGAAAAGGAAAAAGGAAGGGGAAAAAUCAGCGAAAAUUACGGAAUCGGUCGGGCACGCGCGACGGAUUUGAUGGGCACGCGGUGAAAUUUGCGGGGAACGGAAAAGAUGACUGUCGACGUUGGGUGCCAGGACGGCAGGGUCGCCGGGAUGGAAAAGAUUUUCGGGAGCUCAACGGUCGGAAGAUUUUGAAACAAAUUUUUAGCGGGUGAUUUGAGUUAGUAAAUUCUACGGGUGUUACAAACCUACCCCACUUACAUUAAAUCUCAUCCUCGAGAUUCAACUGAGUCCUGAAAAGAUAGGGAAACUCCUUCUUUAACGCAUCCUUGCGUUCCCAAGUAGCUUCCUCUUCACUAUGCCUACUCCAUUGGACUCUGCAAUUCCGUACCACCAAAUUCCUCGUUCUUCUGGUGGCAGUGUCUAGAAUCUUAACAGGUACCUCCUGAUACUGGAGAUCUUUUUGCAAGUCUAUCGUUUCCACCGGUACUUGCUCUUCAGGUACUCUCAAGCAUUUUCUUAGUUGGGAGACAUGAAAUACUGGAUGUAUAUCUGACAUUUCUUCGGGCAGUUGGAUACGGUAUGCUACAACUCCAACUCUCUUUAGCACCUGGUACGGUCCUAUAUAUCGAGGGGCUAAUUUUCCUUGUACUUGAAAUCUUCGGGUACCUCAAAUCGGGGAGACCUUGAGGUAGACGAAGUCUCCUUCAUUGAAACUCAAUUCCCAUCUCCUUUUAUCUGAGUAGCUCUUCUGUCUAGACUGCGCUGCCUUCAGCUUCUCUCGGAUUUCAGCCACUCGGUCUUCUACCUCUUUGAUAAAGGCAGGUCCCACUAGAGUGCGCUCUCCUAGUUCUGACCACAUCAACGGGGUCCUGCACUUCCUUCCGUAGAGGGCCUCAAAUGGCGACAUGCCUAAACUGGCUUGGUAACUGUUGUUGUAUGAGAACUCUGCAUAGGGUAAACUCUGUUCCCAGUCUUUGCCAUAGGUAAGGACACAUGCUCUCAACAUAUCUUCCAUAAUUUGAUUUACUCUCUCUAUUUGGCCAUCGGUCUAGGGGUGAUAGGCUGAACUGAAAUCCAAUUUGGUGCCCAUGACUUAAUGCAGACUUUUCCAGAACCUAGAGGUAAAUUGGGUUCCUCUAUCCGAAACAAUUCUGCUAGGCACACCAUGUAGCUUUACUAUGUUGUCCACAUAGAGCCGAGCUAGUCUUUCUCCACCGUAAGUGGUCCGUACAGGUAAGUAGUGAGCAACUUUAGUGAGUCGGUCCACUAUUAACCAUAUGGAGUCAUUUCCUUUUUGAGUCUUGGGUAAACCUACUACAAAAUCCAUACCAAUUUCAUCCCAUCUCCAAACCGGGAUGGGUAGUGGUUGCAGCAAACCUGCUAGCUUCUGGUGUUCGGCCUUGACCCUUUGGCAAAUAUCACAAUGAGCAACGAACUAGGCUAUGUCCGCUUUCAUCUCAUUCCACCAGUACUUCUUCUUUAAGUCCAUAUACAUCUUGGUGGAUCCUGGAUGGAUGGAGUAUGCUGACUUAUGGGCCUCAUCCAUGAUGGUCUGUCGGAAAUCACCUUCCUUGGAUACACAAAUCCUAUCCUUGUACCACAAGGUUCCUUUGUUAUCCACUCUAAAUCCUGGGGCUUUAUUCUCUCCGGUUUGCUUGCGAAUCCUUACUAAGUCCUGAUCUGAACCUUGGGCUUCUCGGAUUCUAUCCUUCAAAGUGGGCUGAACACUUAGCUUGCAGCUGGUAUUCUGAGGAAUAAUGUGCACAUUUAGCCAAGCCAUUUCCUCUUGCAAACAGGUAUCCUUGGGUCUGAUCUGUCCAUAGGAUUUUCUGCUUAAGGCAUCAGCUACCACUUAUCCUUGCCGGGGUGGUACUGGAUUUCCAGAUUAUAAUACUUGACCAGCUCUAACCACCUUCUUUGCCUCAAAUUCAAAUCUGGUUGGGUGAAAAUAUAUUUUAGACUCUUGUGGUCCAUGUAAAUCUCACAUUUAUUCCCAAUUAAAUAGUACCUCCAGAUCUUGAGGGCGUGCACUACGGCUGCAAAUUCUAAAUCAUGGGUUGGGUAAUUCUGUUCAUGAGGCUUAAGCUAGCAAGAAGCAUAUGCCACUACUUUCCCAUCCUGCAUAAGGACGCACCCUUACCCUUGUCAGGACGCAUCACAAUAGAUGACGAAGUCCCGCUGAAUAUCCGGUAGGGUUAAUACUGGGGCGGUCGUCAAUCUUUUCUUCAGUUCUUGAAAACUCCUCUCACAUGACCCUGUCCAAGUGAGUUUCUUAUCCUUCCUAAGUAGUCCCGUCAUGGGCUGGGCUAUCUUGGAAAAUCCUUCAAUAAACCUCCGAUAGUACCCAGCUAAACCAAGAAAGCGUCUGAUUUCACUAACAUUGGUGGGCUACUGCCAGUUGGAAACAGCUUCAACUUUCUCAGGAUCAACUGCUACUCCUUUUGUGGUCAAAAUAUGACCCAGAAAUGCCACUUUCUUGAGCCAAAAUUCACACUUGCUGAAUUUAGCAUAGAGUCGGUGGGCUCUCAAUUUCUCUAACACCACCCGUAGAUGUUGUUCAUGCUCUUGGACACUCUUGGAGUAAAUAAGUAUGUCGUUGAUAAAGACUACGACAAACUUAUCUAACUCCUCCAUAAACACCUUGUUCAUGAGAUUCAUGAAGUAAGCAGGAGCAUUGGUCAGUCCAAAAGACAUCACUGUGAACUCAAAUUGUCCAUAGCGGGUGACAAAGGCUGUCUUUGGGAUGUCGCUUUCCUUGAUCUUGAGCUGAUGGUAUCCUGACCUCAAACCUAUUUUGGAGAAAUACUUGGCUCCUUUCAGCUGAUCAAACAGAUCAUCUAUUCUGGGGAGAGGAUAUUUAUUCUUGAUAGUGACCUCAUUCAGUGCACGAUAAUCCACGCACAUCCUCAUGCUCCCAUCUUUCUUUGACAAAGAGCACUGGGGCUCUCCAUGGGGAUGAGCUAGGUCUGAUAAAGCCACUCUGUUGCAGUUCCCCUAACUGUUUCUUCAGCUCUGCCAACUCAGAUGCUGCCAUUCUAUAGGGUCUCUUGGCUAUAGGGGAGGUUCCAGGAAUAAGGUCGAUUACAAACUCUAUAUCCCUGUCUGGGGGCAUUCCAGGUAGUUCUUUAGGAAAGACAUCAGGGUAUUCACUUACUACCUAGACUCCUUCUAUGGCCUUGGCCUCCAUACUAAAAACCAUCAGGUCGGGUCCACUCCCCCGAGUGUGACAAGUUACUUGCAUACCGUCCUGAUUGACCAGAUGUACUAUCUUAUCUGCACACCCUAUGUGACCAUCAUGUAGACUUAACCAAUCCAUUUCAAGGAUCACAUCUAUCCCCUUAGACUCAAGUACUAUUAAGUCUGCUAAGAAUUCUACCCCACUUAAAUUGAUCAUUACCCGGGAACAACCUAGUCGACACUGGAUGUCGGCUCCAAGCGUUUGGGUUAAUAGGGGUAACUUUAGUAGUACUAUAGGUAUGUGGUGCUUAUCCACAAAGCUUGAUGAUAUAAAAGAAUGUGAUGCUCCAGAAUCGAAGAGUAUUGUUGCCAAGACUGAGCUGACUAGAAACUCACCGAGUACCACGCCCUGAGCCUCUCGAGCCUCUUGCGCGCUGAUGUGCUUGACACGUGCUUGUCCAAAUGACUACUGGGGCGGCCUUAUCUACUGGCUAGUGUUGUUGCUGGGGUUGUUGUUGCUACGGAUUGGGACACGGUUGGCUCCUGACACUGCUGCCCUCGGUCCCGUUACUGCGUUGGAGAAGGCCGACGUUGCUGGCUUGGUGGCGUAUGGGCAGUUGGCGAUGAAAUGCCCUAGCUCACGGCAGUUCAAGCAUGCCCUGCUAUUGUUGGUGACUUGGCUGGCAUUGUUCUGUGGGGUCUUGACAGGAAUCUGGCUUCUGAAUGGGACAUUAGGCUGAUGAGAACUGGAGGCUUUGGGACUGGGUUCGGUACUGCAUAGAAGCUUGGGAUCUGGGCAAUGGGUGACCAAAGCUCCUCGGCUUCUGGAACCAGUCCUGCUGGUGAGCCUUGCUUUCCAGGAACCGACGCUUGUUGUCCCUUCGUUCGUCUGCUUUGGCUCUCUCAGUCAGGAUGGCCAUGUUCAUCAGAGUGUUGAAGUCGGGGUAGAUCUGAGGAGUAAGCAGGGUCCUCAGUUCUGCAUUCAAACCCUUCUUGAACAUAUCCUACUUCUUCUCGUCCUUGUCCACUUUCUCUGGAGCGUAACAGGCCAGCUCCAUGAACUAAUAGGUGUACUCCUCCACAGACUUGUUGCCUUGGCGCAGUUCACGGAACUCAUCCGCCUUGCGCUUCAUGGUGGCCGCGGGAAUGUGAUAGCGGUGGAAUUUUGUCAUGAACUCAUCCCAGGUGAUAGUGGAGGCAUCCUGGGUGGCGAUGUAGUAGUUCUCCCACCAAGCUAGAGUAGUCCCAUUGAGCUGGUAGGCAGCCAAGAGAACCUUAUCCCUGCUCUCACAACCAAAUGGCUCUAGCUUCCUUUGAAUGACCCGCAGCCAGUCAUCUGCGUCCAGAGGGUUGACAGACCCGCCAAAAGUGGGUGGCUUGGUCCGGAGGAAGUCCGUCAACUUUUUGUUCAUGCUCUGACCGCGGGGUCUCUAGCGAGUAAUGGCACUGGCCAAGGCUUCCAGCAGAAGGGUCUGGUUGUUCAUCACUUGCAGUAGAUCAAUGACCAGUGGGGGCGGUGGCUGCUGUGCUCCCAUUUGGCUUUCUCCCCUACCCUCAGGCUGAUUCACCUCCUGCUCCUCAUGGUGCACUACUGGUAGUGGUCCGUGCCCUUCUGGCUGUCUUUCUGCACUAGGGGUGGCACGAGCUUGACUUGGGGAGGUCCUGGUGGCACGCAUGGGAGGCAUCUGCAGAUUGAGAGAACUUUCAUGAGACUUGGAUUUGGACUUAAAGUGAUGUUUAGUUAAUUAGCUCAUGUUUUAGAAAAGACAGAAUCCACCUCCUGUUGACAAGCACACAGACUAACAAAUAACCAGCACAAAUGAUUUUAUUAUUUUACCGGGGCGGUUACAAAACUUGGGGUGAAGCCAAAACACGCAGUACACGACCGGUACAACAACAAAACUGGGGUACAACUCUAUACUCAGGAUGACUUCUCGGCUAGGGGUACAACUCUAGGUGGGGCAUUCUACUCGUGGGGCGAUUCCUCAUCCUGAGCGGAGUGGUUUUCAGGCAGGAUGAGGAGUGCCAGCACAUCAUCCUCCACCGAGGGCAGGACGACGACUUCAGAGUCUCUCCUGGAAGUCUCCGUAGGUGGUGGCGCUGGCAGAGCAUCAGGGCUCUUCCGUUUGCCGGACCCUUGGGCAAUGGGAAUCCCAUCCAAGAUCGGGGCCUCGUCGUCCUCAACAACCCGCAUCUUCCUUCUCGCGCGGUUCGCGAGAUGGGCAUCCUUCAAUUCCUGAGAGUGCCGAUCCUCGGCCCCCUUAAGGGCCUCAAUGGCGACGGCCUCGUUACUUUGGGCGGCCGCUGCUCGUGCCUCAGCUGCUGCCAACCUCACCUAGAGCCUCCUCACCAUAACCUUUGCGUCCUUGGCUCUACGAAUCUGUUGCUUCAGUUGUGCGAUCUGCUCAUCAUAGAGCUCAUCCAAGGUGAGAAGGUAGGCAGCCAUGUGGAGCACGGUGGGGUCAUCCUCGCGUUGUCCACGUCCUUCCAAAGUCCUAACCCGGGCCAGCCAAACCGGGUGGUUCUUCUUGACAGGCGGGUAAAAUCUCAUCUGUGUGCGGCCGAUGUGCCUCUCAUAAAUCUGGCACAGGUAGCGCAGAGCCUUACGGGCUGCCACCUGGUAAGUGUCUUUCCACCGAAAACCAGUGGCAGACACAUUCUAUGGUUGAAUGUCGGGGUAGCGAUUGCUCCUGCCGACGUAGAUGGUCAUCUCACACCGGAGUGUCCCACGGUCUUCAUACUCCCUGCUGGUGUACUCCGGGCGCUCAUAAAUCUCGAGGCGGUCCAUGCAGGCGAAUAACAACCUGGGAAAACCGGGCUCCUCCAGGCAGUGGCUGUUGACCCAUCCUUCUUCUUCCAUCUGGAAAGAAUCGAGGUGUAAAUCAGUUUUGCAAAUGAGCAAGGGAAGCAAGAAAUUUUCUAAAUCAUUUAUUUUAGUCAAAAAGGUUUUUUCAAUCCUAAUGGUCGCGUCCUACAGCCAAUGACGGCUCUGAUACCACCUGAAGCAUCCUCACAUAAGUAGAGACUAAAUGUGAUACAAAUAUCAGUCCAGGAGGCUGAUAACACAUUUAUUCAAUAGAUGGUUCAAAAACCGUACAACUUCUGAAGGAGCGGGCGGGCAAGCAACACCCAAAAAAGAACUAAACCAACAACGAUACAAAUCCAAGUUGCAGUCCAGUCAAACUCUGGGCUGCAAUCGGAACUAAGCGUCAGCGGAGGCCGAGAAUCCCGGCCGGUGGCGUGCCGGAGCGGAGUUCCACGUGAAUGGCGUGGUGGGGGCCGGCUCGGUCGACGAGGAGCACAGGGGCGACGACCGGCGGCCGGCGAUGGGACGCGGGCGGCCAGGUGAGCAGCUCGGCGCGGGCGGCGGCGCGUGGCACGGCACGCGCGGGGCCGGGCGCGAGGGCGGCCAGGCGUGGCGCGGGGACGGGCAAGCAGCACCAGGUGCUAGCGCCAGGCGCCAGGAAGGAAGGGAAGGAGAGAAGGAAAAAGAAGGAAGAAGCUAGAGAGAAGAAAGUGAAGGAAGGAAGGGAAAAAAGAAAAGAGGAAAAAAGGGGAGGGAAAAAAGGGAAAAGGAAAAAGGGAGGGGAAAAUCAGUGAAAAUUGUGGAAUCGGUCGGGACGCGCAACGGAUUUGAUGGGCACGCGGUGAAAUUUGCAGGGAACGGAAAAGAUGACUGUCGACGUUGGGUGCCGGGACGGCGGGGUCGUCGGGAAUGAAAAGAUUUUUCGGGAGCUCAACGGUCGAAAGAUUUUGAAACAAAUUUUUAGCAGGUGAUUAGAGUUAGUAAAUUCUACGGGUGUUACACUCGAGGUCUCCAGCUCUGAGAGCCCAACGCUCCGCUCUCGACUUGAUUGCAUCAAGUCUCUUCGAGUUAUCACAACUCGUCGGCUAUUCACAGCCACUUGAGCUCUCCAGCUCUGCGAGCCCCAGCACUCCGCUCUCGACUUUAUUCCAUCAAGUCUCUUUGAGUUAUCAUAACUCGUUGGCUAUUCAUAGCCACCCGAGCUCUUCGGCUCUGCGAGCCCUAGUGCUCUGCUCUCAACUUGAUUCCAUCAAGUCUCUUUGAGUUAUCACAACUCGUCAGCUAUCCACAGCCACUCAAGCUUUUCAGCUCUACAGAGCUUCAACACUCUCGCCAACUCAUCUCUACAAGACUAAGAGGCUUCACAAAGUAGUCUGGUUCGUCAGGGCCGCCUGGGGUCACCUGGAAGCAUUCUGUGAUGAAGGAACCAGCGGUUCAGGCGUUGGUUGAUGCGACACUGCUCCAACUAAGGGUGGAGUUUAAGUGGAGGCCCACAUAUGGGAAUGUGUGGCAAUUCGAAGAGCACCCCAAGGAGUCGUGGCCUCCCCCUGGAUCUUCUCAGGUUUCUAGCCCAUCUUGGUACGCAUCAACUAAUCUUGCGGAAAAAAGGGGAUGAAGAAGGACGCAUCGAUUUCUCUUCAAAAGAUCAGGUGAGGGUAACAAUGGCAGCGGCGGUGCAAACAGGAGCAGCAGCGCUAGGGUUGCAAAAAAUGCGCAAAUUACAGAUCUGUUGAAACAGGCAGGCCAAUACUUAGCUGGCCCCCCUAUUAUAUCGGCAAAAUUACCGGAUUCCACCCGUUGAUUGAGCAACGAUCAGAUAUGACUCAGAUUUACCACCAUAAAGUGUCCAACGGCUAAUCUGACCAAGGCAUUGAUCCCUUCACCGACUACAAGUACUCGCCCAAGUGCUCGGGGGCUGCAUAUACCGUACCCAUUGGAUGAAAGUUUUCUUUUUCUGAAGACUAAGAUAAGUCGAAGCGAAAUUACAAGUUUGACCCUCAGCCUGAUUCUUCGAUUCAACCUAAGGCUCGGGGGCUUACUUCAUAUAAAAAAAGUUUCAAGACCAAGACUCCUCGAAGUAAACAUCGGGAACUGCUAAGAGUACCUUCCAGUCACGCAACAGUUCCGGUACUCGAAGAUUGGCCGCAUCGAGCAGUACUCGAGGAGCAUCAGGAGAAACUCCGGCAACAUCUUCAAGUACUCGGAACUAUUCCACUCGACUACAAAGUACUCGGGGGCUUGUUGGCUAGGCACCCCUAGGCCCACCAGAAGACUUGUACGGAUCCACUCAAGGGAACGUACCCAAAAUCUAGUCGGGCAUGAAGACUACUCUGCAGGGCGCGUAGGUUUCAUGGACUCCCAGAAGACUAGUCAGGACAAAAGGAAACUACUCUACCGAGUUAGAGUAGGACUCUGUAACGUACUCAACUCGGACUCAUACACAAUCCGCCCUGUAACCCUGCUCCCCCGACUAUAUAAGGGUGGGUAGGGACCCCCCUCCAAAGUACAACAACAGACACAAGUUCAAUACAACCAACACACAGGACGUAGGGUCUUACGCGAUCUAGCCCGAACCUGUCUAAAUCAUGUUCCUUGCGUCACCAUCGACUCUUUUGAUUCUCGACGAUACCCACCGCACAAAAGACCACAUGGGGUACUCCCUAGGCAGGUUGCCGAUCUAAAAUACCAACACGACCUGCAGGUGUAAUGGCUGAAGUGGUCAAUGUGGCACUCGGAGCACUGCUCCCACCAGUGACAUUUCCUCCUUUUCCUUGAUUCCUUCUCAUCUUGACUUGUGUCAUUUUCCUUUGCAGGAUCUUCCUUGUUAGCCUCCUCCAGAUCCUUGGCUCCGGAAUGAAGUCUGGGUUCAGUACAGGUACUUUCAUCCUUGACUCCUUGCUCUCCAUGGCUGGAGAAGACGAUUGCACUUGCACCACAAGGUUGCUGGUCUGGUACAGGGAUGGCGAACAUGGCUGAAGCGUGGAGAGGACGCAUAGUGGGAUGGUGCAAAAGAAGAGACCAUGGAUGAGCUACAUAAUCUAAUCAAUCACUUUAUUGGAUCGAAAUUACCUUUGCAUUUUUCUAUCUAGAUUUGUGCAUUCCCUUUCUGAUCAAUUAAGCAGUUCCCAAUUUCAGAAAAACAAACUUAUGAAACAUUGCCAAUUUGGUGCAUAACUUCAAGUAGUCGUUGUCAAUAAGUAUCAGCGCAAAAAGAAAAAGAAGUAGAUUAUUUCAUUUUUCCUACCGAAGGCAAUAACCCAGCAGGUCUCAAAAUAGUUUAUCUUUAAUAAAGAACAGCUAAAAUAAAUCACUAGCACUGUAGUAAUCAUAUACUUCCUUCAUACUCACAAAGGAAGUCGUUUUGGACAGCGACACGGUCUCCAAAGUAUUACUUUGACUCUUUGUUUUUAUAAAAAUAUUUAUCAAAAAGUGAUAUAUGUAUAUUUUUAUGAAAGUAUUUUUCAAGACAAAUCUAUUUAUAUAGCUUUCACAUUUCCAAACUCAACAACUUAAAAGUUAUUCGUGAUUUAUAUUCCCAAUGUUUGACCCAAGUCUUGUCCAAAAUGACUUUCAUUGCGAGUACGGAGGUAUUUAGUAGUACACUUAUAAAACACUUCCAAAUUAAAACACCAUUUGUUUGUUUUAAUGAAGGGAGUAGCUAGCUAGCCAGCCGUACGUUUGUCAGGAGAAUUAAUUAGUUGAAGCGAGCUGCGAUGGACGCAAGGAGUGCGGUGGGGUCCAUCUCGUACCCAUACAGGCUCCUCCAGGAGUUGCACUCGACGCCGUCGGCCAGCUUGUCGACCGACCCUGUCGCGAGGUUCACCGCGAAGGCGCCGCUGGUGCUGCAGCCUUCCCCGAUCGUGAAGAAGAGCGUGCCGCUCUUCUCGCCGAGCCACCGCAUCUUGAGCUCGAACUUCGACAACAUCGGCACCGUAAGCUGGGUCAGGACGCUGGUUUCGCCCCGCUCCCACUCGGCACCCGCCGCCGCGCUCACGUCCAAGGUCUCGACGCCGAAGCUGAGGAGCUCGCCCCCCAUCAAGCCGGCGCUGACGUAGCUCAGCCUCCCGUCCGGCGUCGUGCCGAGCAGCCUCCAGUCCGGUAAAGUGUCCCGUAUCGUGUAGGGCACGACAUGCACGUCCAUGACCGCCGCGGCGGCGCCGCCGUCUAGCCGCACGGCCAGAGCUGCGGCGACCAUGAUGGGCCAGUACACCACUCCACGGAGCACGACGGCGGGGCCUAGUCGCUGAAGCACGUGGCCGCUAAUCUGGGUGCCGGGCUUCCUGAAUUCCGGGCCCCAGCCGCCGCCGCCGCCAGCGUCGUCGGAGGUGUAGCACCGAAGAGCCGUGAAGCUGCGGCGGUUGUAGACUAGGACAAGGCUGAAGAAGGACGAUCCCUGUUGUGCGUCGUUGUCGAGGUCGUCAGCGGUGAGUACCGCGCACAUGUAGUCGUGCCCGGGGAAGUCGUCGCCGGCGAGGGGCGGGACGAGGGCCACGUCCCCCGUCAUCGGGUUGCACACGCUGAGGGCGACGCCAUCGGCACGGGUCUUCCUCCGGAGCUCAAAGACGACGCGGCCGCCGCGGGACGCCACCGGGCGCGCGUAGUGGAAGAGGCCGCCGCCGUCACCGCCCUCAGGAAGGCCCGGGAACGGCGAGCCUAGGAGGACGGAGGCGGACGGCGUCGGGACGAAGCACGGGUCCGUCUGCGCCUGGGCAGCCAGCUGCCUCCGCCUGGUGCUGCUGAGGUCAUGCUGCCCCCCGUGGAAGAAGCCGAGGGCGAGGUGGGGGAGGAACCGAUCGGGUGGCGGCAGAGCGCGGAGGAUGGCGGCCUCGCGCGCGGCCACGAUGCGUCCCCAGCGCCUGCACACGGCGGCGCAGCGGGCGACGUCGCCGGCGUCCGAGAACACCAGGGAGAAGAUUGCGUCGAAGAGCAGGUCGUCGGGCAUGGUGGCCAGAGGAUCAACGGCGCGCCUGCUGCUGCCUUUUCGGUUUCUUGGUGGGCGGCGACAACGGGACAGCCACCCUUUCGUGCUGUGCGGCGGCGCGGCGGCGCGGCGCGGUGGAGCCAUCGAUGGAUCGGAUCUCCCGGCGCCCCCGGAUCGAGGUAUACGAAGCUAGGAAAAAGGAACAGAUGCAAUGCACGAAAGGUGGGCGGCAUCGCGAGUUUAUAGGCCAGCAUACGCGGUUGGUGCGUUCCGAUCGGAUUUGGACACCGUCUCGAAAUCGGUCGAAAAAGAAACUUUCCAUCUUCUUCUUCUAUCUAUACAGUAUCUACCUACAUCUACAUCUAUCCAUACACUAUAAAGAAUAUUCUGUUGUUAGAGUUAUCAUAUCACUUCGAUCUCUGAAAAAGUGAGUGGGCAGUUAACUAGGCCUUUUUUAGUUCCCAAUUUGGAAGUGGCAAAAUUGGCAUUUUACCAUAAAUGCGCAACUGUAGCGUUUCGUUUGUAUUUGUGAAUUAUUGUCCAAAUAUUGACUAAUUAGGCUCAAAAGAUUCGUCUCGUAAAGUACAACAAAACUGUGCAAUUAGUUUUUGAUUUCGUCUAAAUUUAGUACUCCAUGCAUGUACCGCAAGUUUGAUGUGAUGGGGAAUCUUCUUUUUGCAUAGUGUCAAAGUUGGGAGUUUGGAUGUAACUAAACAUGGCCCUGGUUUCUAUCAUUUCCCAUGUAUAUCAUGCAUGCGUCGUCGUCAGCAGGACACUGUUUUCGGCUUCAGAACAGCAAUUCUGAUCCUAUAAGGGAAAAUAACCAAUUUUUUUUUACCAGUGAAUGAAAGUGCAAUUCUCCACAAGUGAGAGUUUCAGACUGAAUCCACAACGAAGAUCGCCGCGGUGUCAGACGGACCGACGACGACACAGCUGGCCCGGACCUGAAUGGGAAGCUUCGUUCGGCGGUGCAGCAAUGACGUCUCGUCAGAUAGAUAUAUGUACGUGCCAUGUAUGUAUACGAUACGGUAUUACCCUAGCCUGUCAUAAGCAUCGAAUGUAAACCACCUGAUGGGCCUGACGAAAUGCCAGCCGCUAAACUGGAAGUGAAUCAUUUUUGCAAUACUUCUGUACCUAUUUUUGUGAAUUUGAUCUUUGGACAGUUCACUCGGUACACUGUAUAGUACACUGUCCAAUUGUCCAAAGUAGUGUUCAGCUUCAUAAAAAUAUCCUUUUUUAUGACAAUCCGAAUGGGACUGCACAUUUAUGCAAAUAAAUAAAUUUAUAAGUUAAAAUAUAAAUUGAGAAAUUUUAGAGUGCUUGAUAAAAAUAAGAGCCGUUCAUAAGACGAAAUCGAUAAGAGAAACAUUUUACUUUAUAUUUAACUAAUUUAUUAAAUAAAUAUUAUUGGUUAGCAAUAUGGCGACGUGGAAAUCAACAACCUGGAGCUGACCCAGCGAUGAGCUGCAAAGACAUCCCAAUGCAACGCAAGAGCAGGCGCAUGAACUUAUACAUGGGAGACGUGAAUGAACAUGCAUGCACGCAUUGUGUUAUCAUCAUCAUCAUCAUCAUCAUGUCCCCGUGUAAACAUGCAGCUCGGCUCAGUUCGGCCUGGCUCGUUAGGCUAACGAGCCGGCUUGGCUCAGCUCGUAAACAAAACGAGCAAAAAGGCCGGCUCAGCUCGACUUGUUAGCAACUCGAGCCAGCUUGUUAGGCUCGCGAGCAAGAUGUAAAUUUAAUAUUACCAUCUCAGUAUAUAUAAAAAAUAAAAAAAUAGUAAUUAUAAAAUCAUAAACUUCAAAAUCCACCAUGCAUGGCUUGUGUCGGCUCCCUAUAUUAGGACUUUAGCCUUCUAGCUCGUUUGGCUCAUGAGCAGCUCGUUAACUAAACGAGCAAAAUUAGCCGCUCGGCUCAUUAAAAAAUUCACCGAGCCGAGCCACCGACAACUCGAGCCAACUCGCGAGUUCUUGGCUUGGCAUCCAGCCCUACCCGUGUACGUCCAUGAAGGCCCAAGCAACUGUUAGCUGGCUUCUUUUUUACUUCUCUUCAAUACUUUCACCUUUGAGAAUAUAUGAUCAACUCAUAUGGUCAUAUAUAUUCAUAUAUGAUUGUGUUGUUGUAAAAGUUAAAACAUGAACAAAUAAUAUUAUCAAGCACUUUUACAAGAAAUUUCACCACUCUUCUCAUGAAGAGGUGGUACAGAUAAUUAGUGUGGAUUGUUAAAAGUGUGCAUUUUAAUAGUGACGUAAAUGCUUUUGAUUUGGCAAUGUUAAAGCUCGGAGUGUGUUACGUAGAUGCUUUUACGUGGUCAAACUUGUCUUUGCACCAGCACUAUGGAAUAUUAUUGUUGCAAUGUUGCUACCAAAAUUCAUAUUUUCCCGUGGCUGGUGUCCCAUGCAUAUAUAAUAGGAUUAUAUGACAAUCUGGCUAAAGGAGGCAUAAUAAAACCCUUAGAUUGCUAUUUUACUUAGAGCACACAUAUUUGUUCUUUGAGUGUGUAGUUGCUAAGCACAUUUAGUCGUAUGCUUCUCGUUUUACUGGUGGUCACGAAGAAGCUCAAGAUUGACAACCUGAACACCUGAAGAGGUCUUGUCACUAAUAAGCAAACGUUCGACUCCUAGAGGGAUACCAUUCGGGGCACAUGCCCCACCUUAGAUGCUCCUGCAUAAUUUUUUGGGUUGAAUGCACCUCCCUAUGAAGUCACGUGCAUUUUCAGAUAGUGUAUUCGGAAUUUCUGGUGGUAUUUCGCUCCCAAAUUUGUAUAGGGCCUGUACCUACAAAUUAAUUAAGAAAAACUACUGCAUCGUAGACAGCUAUAAAUGAUGUAGAUACAGAGAAACCAGAUGUCGUGCAUACCCUUUCUAAAUCAGUGUACGGAACUUUGCCUGUCAGCAUCUCCAAGACCAUGCAACCCAGACUCCAUAUAUUCGCUGGAAGGCCAUAUUGCUUUGCCUUAACAACCUGGUGCAAUUAGGAUGUUACCAAAAUAUUUGGUUGAGGCUUAACAUACACAUCAUUUUCAGUUACAAACUUAUGGCUAGUACUAGUUUGAUUUCUUAAAGACUGAUUGAUAAAUUAAAAAGCUGUUGAUACCAACACAAUCGUAAUACAAAAUAUGAUUAAAAAUUCUAAUCCUUUUGGAAAAUAAAUAGCUAAGCAUAACAUUAUUGUUUUUACUUUAAUAAUAAGAACAAUAGCACCACAACACAAACAACAAAAUCUAACCUCCGGGACCAUCCAAUACACAGUUCCCUGGGCAGAUAUUUGUCUGACUCAAACUUGACACCUUCAAAGUUAAGAUUAGAAAGGGUUAGCAUAACGCGAGGGCAAUAUAAAUUCACUGGGGUGGUGCCAUUUAUAGAAAAAGAUUGAUACCUCCUUUGCAACCCCAAAGUCAGCUAACUUGACGGUGUCAUUUCUAUCAACCAGUAUGUUGGCACAUUUUAUAGCUCCGGUGCAUAUUUUUUUGGUGCAUAACAUUUAUCCCUACAGCUUACUAACCAUAUAUACAAUAGCAUGUUAUAUUCUUACUAUUAAAAGUAAAAAGAUAUAAUGUUAUGCUUAGUUAAGGGUGGACCUACCUUAAAGCAGCGAGGGCCAAUGCCCCUCCCCCUCCUACUGCGCAGCUGCAGUUCUUAAUUUUUUCACCAUGAUAUAUGCUUGCCUACUUUUUAUAGUCACGAAUAGAAUGCCCUCACUCACAAUGGAUCCGCCCUUUUCUCUGGAGCGUAACGGGCUAGCUCCAUGAACUAAUAGGUGUACUCCUCCACAGACUUGUUGCCUUGGCGCAGUUCACGGAACUCAUCCGCCUUGCGCUUCAUGGUGGCCGCGGGAAUGUGAUAGCGGUGGAAUUCCGUCAUGAACUCAUCCCAGGUGAUAGUGGAGGCAUCCUGGGUGGCGAUGCAGUAGUUCUCCCACCAAGCUAGAGUAGUCCCAUUGAGCUGGUGGGCAGCCAAGAGAACCUUAUCCCUGCUCUCACAACCAAAUGGCUCUAGCUUCCUUUGAAUGACCCGCAGCCAGUCAUCUGCGUUCAGAGGGUUGAUAGACCCGCCAAAAGUGGGUGGCUUGGUCCGGAGGAAGUCCGUCAACUUUUCGUUCAUGCUCUGACCGCGGGGCCUCUAGCGAGUAAUGGCAUUGGCCAAGGCUUCCAGCAGAAGGGUCUGGUUGUUCAUCACUUGCACUAGAUCAAUGACCGGUGGGGGCGGUGGCUGCUGUGCUCCCAUUUGGCUUUCUCCCCUACCCUCAGGCUGAUUCACCUCCUGCUCCUCAUGGUGCACUACUGGUGGUGGUCCGUGCCCUUCCGGCUGUCUUUCUGCACUAGGGGUGGCACGGGCUUGACUCGGGGAGGUCCUGGUGGCACGCAUGGGAGGCAUCUGCAGAUUGAGAGAACUUUCAUGAGACUUGGAUUUGGACUUAAAGUGAUGUUUAGUUAAUUAGCUCAUGUUUUAGAAAAGACAGAAUCCACCUCCUGUUGACAAGCACACAGACUAACAAAUAACCAGCACAAACGAUUUUAUUAUUUUACCGGGGCGGUUACAAAACUUGGGGUGAAGCCAAAACACGCAGUACUCAGGAUGACUUCUCGGCUAGGGGUACAACUCUAGGUGGGGCAUUCUACUCGUGGGGCGAUUCCUCAUCCUGAGCGGAGUGGUUUUCAGGCAGGAUGAGGAGUGCCAGCACAUCAUCCUCCACCGAGGGCGGGACGAUGACUUCGGAGUCUCUCCUGGAAGUCUCCGUAGGUGGUGGCGCUGGCGGAGCAUCAGGGCUCUUCCGUUUGCCGGACCCUUGGGCAAUGGGAAUCCCAUCCAAGAUCGGGGCCUCGUCGUCCUCAACAACCCGCAUCUUCCUUCUCGCGCGGUUCGCGAGAUGGGCAUCCUUCAAUUCCUGAGAGUGCCGAUCCUCGGCCCCCUUAAGGGCCUCAAUGGCGACGGCCUCGUUACUUUGGGCAGCCGCUGCUCGUGCCUCAGCUGCUGCCAACCUCACCUAGAGCCUCCUCACCAUAACCUUUGCGUCCUUGGCUCUACGAAUCUGCUGCUUCAGCUGUGCGGUCUGCUCAUCAUAGAGCACAUCCAAGGUGAGAAGGUAGGCAGCCAUGUGGAGCACGGUGGGGUCAUCCUCGCGCUGUCCACGUCCUUCCAAAGUCCUAACCCGGGCCAGCCAAACCGGGUGGUUCUUCUUGACAGGCGGGUAAAAUCUCAUCUGUGUGCGGCCGAUGUGCCUCUCAUAAAUCUGGCACAGGUAGCGCAGAGCCUUACGGGCUGCCACCUGGUAAGUGUCUUUCCACCGAAAACCAGUGGCAGACACAUUCUAUGGUUGAGUGUCGGGGUAGCGACUGCUCCUGCCGACGUAGAUGGUCAUCUCACACCGGAGUGUCCCACGGUCUUCAUACUCCCUGCUGGUGUACUCCGGGCGCUCAUAAAUCUCGAGGCGGUCCAUGCAGGCGAAUAACAACCUGGGAAAACCGGGCUCCUCCAGGCAGUGGCUGUUGACCCAUCCUUCUUCUUCCAUCUGGAAAGAAUCGAGGUGUAAAUCAGUUUUGCAAAUGAGCAAGGGAAGCAAGAAAUUUUCUAAAUCAUUUAUUUUAGUCAAAAAGGUUUUUCCAAUCCUAAUGGUCACGUCCUACAGCCAAUGACGGCUCUGAUAUCACCUGAAGCAUCCUCACAUAAGUAGAGACUAAAUGUGAUACAAAUAUCAGUCCAGGAGGCUGAUAACACAUUUAUUCAAUAGAUGGUUCAAAAACCGUACAACUUCCGAAGGAGCGGGCGGGCAAGCAACACCCAAAAAAGAACUAAACCAACAACGAUACAAAUCCAAGUUGUAGUCCAGUCAAACUCUGGGCUGCAAUCGGAACUAAGCGUCAGCGGAGGCCGAGAAUCCCGGCCGGUGGCGUGCCGGAGCGGAGUUCCACGUGAAUGGCGUGGUGGGGGCCGGCUCGGUCGACGAGGAGCACAGGGGCGACGACCGGCGGCCGGCGAUGGGACGCGGGCGGCCAGGUGAGCAGCUCGGCGCGAGCGGCGGCGCGCGGCACGGCACGCGCGGGGCUGGGCGCGAGGGCGGCCAGGCGUGGCGCGGGGACGGGCAAGCAGCACCAGGUGCUAGCGCCAGGCGCUAGGAAGGAAGGGAAGGAGAGAAGGAAAAAGAAGGAAGAAGCUAGAGAGAAGAAAGAGAAGGAAGGAAGGGAAAAAAGAAAAGAGGAAAAAGGGGAGGGAAAAAAGGGAAAAGGAAAAAGGGAGGGGAAAAAUCAGUGAAAAUUGCGGAAUCGGUCGGGACGCGCAACGGAUUUGAUGGGCACGCGGUGAAAUUUGUAGGGAACGGAAAAGAUGACUGUCGACGUUGGGUGCCGGGACGGCGGGGUCGCCGGGAAUGAAAAGAUUUUCGGGAGCUCAACGGUCGGAAGAUUUUGAAACAAAUUUUUAGCGGGUGAUUCGAGUUAGUAAAUUCUACGGGUGUUACACUCGAGGUCUCCAGCUCUACGAGCCCAACGCUCCGCUCUCGACUUGAUUGCAUCAAGUCUCUUCGAGUUAUAGCAACUCGUCGGCUAUUCACAGCCACUUGAGCUCUCCAGCUCUGCGAGCCCCAGCACUCCGCUCUCGACUUUAUUCCAUCAAGUCUCUUUGAGUUAUCAUAACUCGUUGGCUAUUCAUAGCCACCCGAGCUCUUCGGCUCUGCGAGCCCUAGUGCUCCGCUCUCAACUUGAUUCCAUCAAGUCUCUUUGAGUUAUCACAACUCGUCAGCUAUCCACAGCCACUCAAGCUUUUCAGCUCUACAGAGCUUCAACACUCUCGCCAACUCAUCUCUACAAGACUAAGAGGCUUCACAAAGUAGUCUGGUUCGUCAGGGCCGCUUGGGGUCACCUGGAAGCAUUCUGUGAUGAAGGAACCAGCGGUUCAGGCGUUGGUUGAUGCGACGCUGCUCCAACUAAGGGUGGAGCUUAAGUGGAGGCCCACAUAUGGGAAUGCGUGGCAAUUCGAAGAGCACCCCAAGGAGUCGUGGCCUCCCCCUGGAUCUUCUCAGGUUUCUAGCCCAUCUUGGUACGCAUCAACUAAUCUUGCGGAAAAAAGGGGAUGAAGAAGGACGCAUCGAUUUCUCUUCAAAAGAUCGGGUGAGGGUAACAAUGGCAGCGGCGGUGCAAACAGGAGCAGCAGCGCUAGGGUUGCAAAAAAUGUGCAAAUUACAGAUCUGUUGAAACAGGCAUGCCAAUACUUAGCUGGCCCCCCUAUUAUAUUGGCAAAAUUACCGGAUUCCACCCGUUGAUUGAGCAACGAUCAGAUAUGACUCAGAUUUACCACCAUAAAGUGUCCAACGGCUAAUCUGACCAAGGCAUUGAUCCCUUCACCGACUACAAGUACUCGCCCAAGUGCUCGGGGGCUGCAUAUACCGUACCCAUUGGAUGAAAGUUUUCUUUUUCUGAAGACUAAGAUAAGUCGAAGCGAAAUUACAAGUUUGACCCUCAGCUGAUUCUAUGAUUCAACCUAAGGCUCGGGGGCUUACUUCAUAUAAAAAAGUUUCAAGACAAAGACUACUCGAAGCAAACAUCGGGAACUGCUAAGAGUACCUUCCAGUCACGCAACAGUUCCGGUACUCGAAGAUUGGCCGCAUCGAGCAGUACUCGAGGAGCAUCAGGAGGAACUCGGGCAACAUCUUCAAGUACUCGGAACUAUUCCACUCGACUACAAAGUACUCGGGGGCUUGUUGACUAGGCACCCCCAGGCCCACCAGAAGACUUGUACGGAUCCACUCAAGGGAACGUACCCGAAAUCUAGUCGGGCAUGAAGACUACUCUGCAGGGCGCGUAGGUUUCAUGGACUCCCAGAAGACUAGUCAGGAUAAAAGGAAACUACUCUACCGAGUUAGAGUAGGACUCUGUAACGUACUCAACUCGGACUCAUACACAAUCCACCCUGUAACCCUGCUCCCCCGACUAUAUAAGGGCGGGUAGGGACCCCCCCCUCCCAAGUACAACAACAGACACAAGUUCAAUACAACCAACACACAUGACGUAGGGUCUUACGCUGUCUAAAUCAUGUUCCUUGCGUCACCAUCGACUCUUUUGAUUCUUGACGAUACCCACCGCACAAAAGACCACAUGGGGUACUCCCUAGGCAGGUUGCCGAUCUAAAAUACCAACACGACCUGCAGGUGUAAUGGCCGAAGUGGUCAAUGAGGCACUCGGAGCACUGCUCCCACUAGUGACAUUUCCUCCUUUUCCUUGAUUCCUUCUCAUCUUGACCUGUGUCAUUUUCCUUUGCAGGAUCUUCCUUGUUAGCCUCCUCCAGAUCCUUGGCUCCAGAAUGAAGUCUGGGUUCAGUACAGGUACUUUCAUCCUUGACUCCUUGCUCUCCAUGGCUGGAGAAGAUGAUUGCACUUGCACCACAAGGUUGCUGGUCUGGUACAGGGAUGGCGAACAUGGCUGAAGCGUGGAGAGGACGCAUAGUGGGAUGGUGCAAAAGAAGAGACCAUGGAUGAGCUACAUAAUCUAAUCAAUCACUUUAUUGGAUCGAAAUUACCUUUGCUAAGAGUACCUUCCAGUCACGCAACAGUUCCGGUACUCGAAGAUUGGCCGCAUCGAGCAGUACUCGAGGAGCAUCAGGAGGAACUCGGGCAACAUCUUCAAGUACUCGGAACUGUUCCACUCGACUACAAAGUACUCGGGGGCUUGUUGGCUAGGCACCCUCGGGCCCACCAAAAGACUUGUAUGGAUCCACUCAAGGGAACGUACCCGAAACCUAGUCGGGCAUGAAGACUACUCUGCAGGGCGCGUAGGUGUGGCGGAUCCACUUCGGAUUAGCUUGAUUAGAUAGGGUUAAGCCGCCUAACAUGCGACACCCAUGCCUAAGCCAAGUUAACACGAAGUGCCGUCGGAUUACAUCCGAUUAACCACUUGAACAGGAUCGAGUUUAGCAAACUCACACGAAAGUGAGUGGUUCCAGAGAAUACAACGAGUCCACUGAGUUAAACGAUUUAACCCUUUAGUUCGGCCACAAAAACCAACAUCAGAGUUUUUACAAGGUUCAAAGGAAAACAACAAAAGGUAAAACCACUAGCGGAAGCAAUCGUCGGGGUCGGACGUCCCUGGUGAGGCCAACCGGGACAUCACUGAUUCCUCUCCUCACCGUCCGAGGAAGGAUCCCACUCGACCGUCCAGCCGGCGGAAGCUAGGGCGGCCAAGCACCAGCAAAAGAGGGGUCGGGAGCAGCAGCUUCACCUGAAAAACAGGAGCCACAACAAGGCUGAGCUACUAAGCUCAACAAGACUUAUCCGAUAGGAGUAAGCUACUCCACACUUCUAGACAUGUAGGGCUUUUUGGCUGAGGGGUUUGUUUGCCAAAACCACUAAGUAAAACCCUAUUUUCAAGUUUUAGCUCCGGUUUUAAGUUCCUUAGCCAGUCUAGGUUUUGCUUCCUAUUGUAAGCAAUCAUAGAACCAAACAAGAGGUAUAGAUAUAUCAACAAACAUGUCAUCAUCAGAUUCCUCAUUUACUCAGGGUGACAAAGCGAUCAGGCAAUCUCAAACUGUGAGAGGCAGACGAAUCGAUUCGAGUUCUUUAACCAUGCAUGGUUAACCUAGCCUCCCGACAUCCGCGCACCCGGAGGUCGCUUCCUGUGUCGGCCUUCCCCAUCAAUCCCCUAACCCGUGUCGGGCCCAUUUCCUUUGGUGUAAGGUUCCACGGACCCGGCCUCUGCCGUCCUGUGACCACGCUUACCACCACGUGCGACAACCAGCAGGGGAACUCCGUUCCAAGAACAAUGGGGCGACCGCUCACGUCUAGGUUCAAUCCGGUACUAGGCUUCCUCAUCCCAUACUAAGUAUGAGGCUAGUACUUUCAAACACUUGAUCACGAACACCACCACUGUCGGGCCUUAGCAAGUUUUCAUAGACAGACGGGGCGACCAUCCGUCCACCAAAGAGUUACCAAAACCCUGCCCCGUCCAUCGUCCUUAUAGUUGUAACAGAAAGGUAGAUAUCCAACUCCUACAACUCGCGAGUGACAGGGAAUCACUCGGCUUUUACCGUCUCCUAGUUAAGCAAGCGGCUACUCGGUCCAACAGCUAGUGCUCAGAUCAUGGGGAUAACUAAGUCAUGCAUCUAGGGUUUCAAACAACUCCUAUACGUAAAUGCACAAUCAUGUUACAGAAGGCAUGCGCAAGUCUGGUAAAACACACAGGGUUUUCAUGCAACCGGGGCUUGCCUUCGAGCAAAGAGGAAGGGAACUGCUCGACUUCGGGGGCGACUUCGGCUUCAGCGGGCAGGAGCUCAGCUACAGCUUCGUCUUCUGGCGCCGGGUGUAGCUCGUAGAAGCCGUCGGCGAGGUGCAGCUCUACACGAAUGCAAUGCAAAAGUUAGCAUAGACGGUUAUUUCAACAGCAACACUGGCUCGCCUGAGCCCAGAAACUUGCGACAAGGAGCAGGAGGGUAGGGAGGUUCAAGAGAGCUGGUGGUGAUCAAGAGGCAAGGGUCGGAAAGGAACUUAUGACCUGAUCCUUGAACUAGAGGAUGUGGUAUACUCGGGAUCCUCAGACGCAAGCGCUGAAGGGUUCCUAAAUUUUACACAUACACCCUCGGGUUGAAGAAAAGAUCACAGCCGGACCCUCGAGCGAGGCGGAUAAGGGUCGGCGGAACAGAUAGGGUCGGGCGAGACGGAACCGGGGUCGGGCGGAUAGGAGGGGUCGGGCGAAGCGGACUGGGGUCGGCAGCUUACCUUCUUCCUAAAAGGAAGGCUUGGGGUCGGGAAGAAGCAGACUUGGGCGGAGGGAUUAAAGCUUUGAACAACGGCUAAGACCGGAAACGCUACGGCGGCGGCGGUGCUUCUUGCAGAUAACAAGAGAGCUUUUACGCAGCACGGAGGAGCAAGCGGCUGGGUGACUUGGAGAAAACUGAGGGAGAAUCUGAGAGCAGAGUUCCCCAAGAACUUGGUGUGUGGCGCUAGGAGCUUGAGCAGGUAGCGAGAGAAUGGCUGAAGGCAACAAUGGUGGAGGGAACUCCGGUGGCUGGUGCAUUCCUUUUAUAGCUGCUGGAACGGAGGAAGGAAGCGGCGCGGGAGAGAGAGAAGGGGAGCGGCGCGAAGGCCGGGGAGAAGCAAUGGAGUGCUCUGCCGGGGCGGCGAUUGAGCGAAGAGGGCGAUGGUGCACGACUCGGGGAUGACGCCAGCGGUCAUUGGGUUCUGGCGUCAGGGCGGCGCAGGAGCGGGUAUGCCGGUGGUUGAGAUUUGGUGGAGGCGGGCGUCGCCGUGCGGAAGAUUUGAUAGAAGCGACCGGUUUAACGGCCCUAGAAUCGAGGGCGCACAGGUGAGAAGACAGGCAGCCGCGGGCGCGCGGGCGAGCGCGGAGCAACAGAUUGUCGGGCGGCUUCUGACAGGGCGGGGAAAGGAGCUGUCGCUGCCGUGGUCGGGGUUGGCGAUGGAGGAAUUGUCGUGUAGCGGAGACCAGGCGGCGCGACUGUGGUUGAAGUGACGGAAAAGACGGGCGACAUCGGGCUCUGGGGCCGGGAUCUGGCGGCGUGAUGAUGGGCGCGGGAGGCGAGGCUCUGCAGAAAGGUUGCAGAGGGGCUUCCGCUGCCAUUGGGGAAGGGGGCGCGAGAAUCCACUCGGUCGCUAGCCAGAGACAAAACUGAGCGGCGGCGUCAGAGAAAACGAGCCACGCGGCAGGGAGGCUCUGAAGCGGGCAUGCAACUCGAAUGCGCCUGUCGCGGAGGAUCUGGGGAAAAGAUCUCGCGGGUCCACCGGGCGGAUAGAACGGACGUUUGAGAAAGAUUUAGAAGGAUCCGACGGUGGGCUGAGCUUGCCAGGGUCGGGAUCGGAGCGAAACGGGGAGGGGUCGGGUCUCCGGGGUCGGAACCGGGUGGAAGGUUGAGCACUCAGGCGCGGUAAAACAAGACAGAUGACUAUGAUCAGGGGCUCCGAUUAAGAUUAACUCGAAAGAUUAGGGGUCGGUCGUCACAGCCUACCCCUCUUAAAAAGAAUCUCGUCCCGAGAUUCAGGCAUCAAAAGCGGGGUGCCGUUUUUACCUCCUUGAUGAGAUAGAAAACCGGGGAAGCGCUUGUUCAGAUACUCGUCCGUUUCCCAUGUUGCUUCAUCUUCGGUGUGGUUUCUCCAGAGGAUCUUAUACAUCUUUACCACUUGGCGUCGGGUGUGCCUUUCCUUCUGGUCAAGAAUUCGAUCUGGGUACUCGGCGUAGGUCAGGUCGGGCUCUACCUGAAGCUGUUCUUGCUCUAAGAUUUCUGCUGGAACUCGGACACAUUUCUUCAGUUGAGACACAUGGAAGACAUCGUGUAUGGCCGAUAGUUGUUCUGGAAGUUGGAUCCGGUAAGCAACGGGUCCACAUAUCUCCACAGUCUCAUAAGGGCCAAUAUAACGGGGAGCUAACUUGCCUUUUACUCCAAACCGUUGUACUCCUUUGGUCGGGGAGACUCGAAGGUACACAUGAUCACCAAGGUCGAACUGCAGGGGUCUUCUCCGCCGGUCGGAGUAACUCUUCUGUCGAGAUUGGGCAGCCUUGAGAUUAGCUUGAAUUACCUUUACUUGCUCUUCGGCUUCUGCCACCAAGUCAGGGCCAUAGACCUGUCUUUCUCCUGGUUGGGACCAGUUCAAGGGUGUCCGGCAUCUCUGGCCAUACAGGGCUUCGAACGGUGCCAUCUUCAAACUGGCCUGGUAGCUGUUAUUGUAGGAGAAUUCUGCUAAGGGCAGACAUUUGUCCCAAUUCUUAUCAUAGUGGAUAACACAAGCUCUUAACAUGUCUUCGAGGAUCUGAUUGAUUCUCUCGGUUUGGACGUCGGUUUGAGGAUGAUAUGUUGAGCUUCGGAUGAGCUUGGUGCCCAUGGAUGCUUGUAGUUGCUCCCAAAAACGUGCCACAAACUGAACUCCUUGAUCGGAGACGAUGGUCUUGGGUACACCGUGUAGGGAAACUAUGCGGUCGAGGUACAACUCUGCAUACUGCUUGACUGUGUAGGUGGUGCGAACAGGAAGGAAGUGUGCGGUCUUGGUCAAACGGUCCACUACCACCCAGAUGGAAUCGUGUCGUUGCGAUGUAAGGGGCAAUCCAACUAUGAAAUCCAUGCUGAUGUCUUCCCAUUUCCAAGAGGGAAUAGGUAGCGGUUGCAGGGUACCUGCUACCUUUAAAUGACUGGCCUUGACGCGUUGACAGGUGUCACAUUCUGAAACAUACCGGGCAAUUUCCCGCUUCAUUCCACUCCACCAAAAGGCUUGACGGAGAUCAUGGUACAUCUUAGUGCUGCCAGGAUGGAUUGAGAACUUGGAGAGAUGAGCUUCAUCUAGGAUUUGCUUCCUAAGGUUGGGGUCGGCGGGUACAACUAGUCGGUUUCCAUAAUGCACACCUCCCGUUUUGUCCUGCCGGAAUUGCUUAUAUCCCUCAUCCUUUACUGAGAUCUUACUGAUGAUCCGUUGUAUUUCCUUAUCUCUUACUUGUGCUGACCGGAUUUGGUCUUCCAAAACUGAGUUAAGGAUGAUGUGACCAAGGGUUCCCUGAGAAAUAAUCUCCAAACUGAGUUUUUCCAUCUCGUGACACAGAGUCUUGGUGAAGGCUGUUGACAACAAGCAGUUGCAAUGGUGUUUGCGACUAAGGGCAUCAGCUACCACAUUGGCUUUGCCGGGAUGAUAGUGAACUUCCAAAUCAUAGUCCUUUAUCAACUCCAACCAUCUUCUCUGGCGCAUGUUGAGGUCGGCUUGAGUGAAGAUGUACUUGAGACUCUUGUGGUCGGUGUAGAUGUUGCAGUGAGUGCCCAUCAGAUAGUGUCUCCAUAUUUUUAAGGCAUGUAUCACUGCCGCUAGCUCAAGGUCAUGGGUUGGGUAGCUCAGCUCAUGAGGUCGUAACGCCCGUGAGGCAUAGGCAAUGACUCGAUUGUCUUGCAUAAGAACACACCCAAGUCCAGUGCCAGAGGCAUCACAGUAUACGUCAUACGGCCUAGAGGGGUCGGGCUGAGCCAAAACUGGGGCUGUGGUCAGCAAGUGCAUCAGGGUCUUGAAGGCUUCUUCACACUUGUUGUCCCACACAAAUUUGACCUCUUUCUUCAACAACUCGGUCAUCGGCUUAGCUAUCUUAGAUAAAUCCGGUAUGAAACGCCGAUAGUAGCCGGCCAGUCCAAGGAAACUUCUGAUCUGGUGCACUGAGGCAGGAGGCUUCCAUUCCAUGACUUCCUGCACCUUACUGGGGUCAACGGCGAUACCAUCCUUGGAGAUAGUGUGUCCCAAAACCUUGACACUAUUUAACCAGAACUCACACUUGGAGAACUUGGCAUAGAGUUGGUGAUCUCUUAGCCAUCGGAGAACUAAAUGAAGAUGGUCGGCAUGUUCCUCUUCGUUCUUCGAGUACACUAGGAUAUCAUCAAUGAACACCACUACAAACUUGUCCAGCUCGGGCAUGAAUACCGAGUUCAUGAGGUACAUGAAAUAGGCGGGUGCAUUGGUGAGUCCAAAGGACAUGACUAGUUACUCGUACAGUCCAUAUCUGGUAGAGAAAGCUGUCUUGGGUAUGUCGCAGGGUCGGAUCUUGAUUUGGUGAUAACCAGAACGAAGAUCGACCUUGGAGAACACUUUUGCUCCGGCUAACUGAUCAAACAAGACAUCAAUGCGUGGCAGUGGGUACUUGUUCUUGACGGUCACGGCAUUGAGGGGUCGGUAAUCCACACACAUACGUAGACUGCCAUCCUUCUUCUUCACAAACAGGGCAGGGCAACCCCAAGAUGAUGUACUGGGUCGGAUGAAGCCUUUUUCCAACAGAUCAUGCAACUGGGUCUUCAACUCGGCUAACUCAGCGGGUGGCAUCCGAUAGGGUCUCUUAGAUAUUGGGGUUGUGCCAGGGAUCAACUCUAUGGAAAACUUCACUUCUCUAUCAGGUGGCAUACCCGGCAAGUCUUCCGGAAACACGUCAGGAUACUCACAGAUAACAGGGAGGCCUUCUAGACGGGCUCCCGAUAGGGGGUAGGCACAAGGAAGUGCAGACUCAGGACGGGUCAAGGAUAUGGUAGAACUGCCAUGGAGGGGUGAGCUGAGGUAGAGGGAUCGGGCUACUGUAUCUAGAACCACAUGAUGUCGGGCCAUCCAAUCCAUACCAAGGAUGACAUCUAUGCCUUCUAGGUCAAGGAUGAUAAGGUUUUCCUUGAAGAGGGUGGGGCCUAGCUGGAGGGGUACAAGAGUAACAAUCUGAUCCGACGUUAUCCUUCCUCCAGGAGUGGCGAUCACAUAAGGUUCCUUAGUGUGACCGACAUUCAGCUCACAUCUUUCCCUAGCCUUACUCCCGAUAAAGCUAUGAGAGGCUCCCGAAUCAAACAACACAACAACAACUUGAUUUAAAACAAGGAAAGUACCCGUCAUUACUGGCGCACCUUCGGGGAGCUCGGUCAAGCUGGUGUAGUUGAGUCGGCCUUGUCGGACUUGCACCUUGGGCCUUCUUCCUCUGGCUGCCAUAGGGUUCGGACCUUGCUGUUGAUUCUUGUUCCUGGGGCAGUCCUUUGCAAAAUGCCCUUCGUUGCCGCAGGUAAAACAACGGCUACUAGCUGCCGGGCGGGGUGGCGUUGGUAGGGUCGGCCGGGGCACCUGCGGUUGGAAGCCUGAAAAACGAGGCGCUGUUACUGGUGAGGGUCGGGCGAUCCACCUUCCUGACUGCUGGGGUCGGCCAGGGGCUUGUGGAGGAACCAUCCGGAACCUUCGAGUCGGCGGACUCGGAAAUGCCACAGAGGCUUUCCUCUUCUGGUCGGCCUUGAGAGCUUGCAUGCAAUCCUCUUGAGAGAUGGCCAGAUUGACCAACUCAUUGUAGGUGUCCACCUUGAUGGGGUUCAACCUUUCCCUGAGCUCCAAGCUCAGUCCUCGGCGGAAUCUGUCCUGCUUCUUCUCAUCUGUAUCCGCAUGGUAGCCGGCAUAGCGGCACAGGUCGUUGAAAGCUUGAGCGUAGUGCAGCACAUCUCGGGUUCCUUGGGUAAGGGCCAGAAACUCGUUGAGCUUGCGCUCCAAGAGACCUUCUGGAAUGUGAUGCGCCUUGAACGCCGUCUUGAACUCAUUCCAACUGACCACAUGGCCAGCCGGCAGCAUGGCAUGGUAGUGAUCCCACCAAAGCCGUGCGGAGCCACGCAGCUGUUGAGCUGCAAACCGAGCCUUGUUGUUGUCGGGGCAUGGGGCGGUGAGAAGCUCAAACUUGGAUUCGAUCGUACGAACCCAGGCGUCAGCAUCGAGCGGUUCUUGUGUCUUUUGGAACAAAGGGGGCUGUGUCCCCAGAAAGUCCUCAUACCGAGCGAUAUGCGGCUGCUGCUGAGCUCUUCCACCAUGUGGCUGUUGCUGUUGCCCUUGUACCAGAUGCCUUAGCAGCUCAUUUUGAGUGCUAGGAUUGCCUCCAGUGGCGAUGAGGGCGGGGGCGGGGGAAGAUCCUGUCGCGGUUCGCUACUGCCGGGCACAGAACCAGACCUGGUGCGAUGCGCCAUCUGCAAGAGUUAACGCUCCAUUAAUUUCAUAACCUUAGAUGUACUCCAACAAAUGGAUCGCAUAAUUUAAUUUCUCCAGUGCAACUCUUGCCAAUGGUGCAACACACGUCCUCAUAGGGAAAACACACUUUUCUUAUCCUCAGUGUAGAUAACAUUUAUCUUGACCUGGUACUCAACUUCAGGCGAAACAUGUCAUAUACAGACCCCUAUGAUCCAACUCAAGCCAAGGGGUCGGGCAACGAUCCGUACUUAAAAAAAAGGUCGGACGAGGCGGAAACUGCCUCAAGGGUCGGCGCACUCGGUCUCACAAACUGGGGUCAGCCAACUGAACAGGCUCCCAGAACACAGCAUAUGGUCAUGGCGCAACUCCCUUAGCCUAGCAUCCACACCGUGCAAGGACUAAGGCCAGACACCAGAAUUAACUUUAUAUACAACGGUGUUCCAAUCACAGGGAGUACUCGACUCUAGGCUAACCUAUUACAACCUUUCCAAAAUUUAGGCUGCCGAGGAGUACAACAAAAGAAUGAUUCCCUGAGAACCCUCAAUCUACCAAUGGACACUAUGAGUAGGAGAAGGGACGCCAUCUUCCUCGAUAUCCAUGCUGGACGCUCCUUCGUCUUCCUCAGGGUCCUCUUGAGCUUCGAGCUGCAUGUGGAGGGCAUGCAUAUCAUCGAGCUCAGCUUGAUGCUCCUCCAAAUGGGCAUUGGCAACUGCCAACUCCAUUUCUAUCUCCAUCUUCUCCUCCGAUAGCUCUAUUAUGCCGUCCACUAGGUCGGCGACUUCUCCCUCAAGCUCGGAGAUCCGGUCUUGCAUGUCUGGAUCUGGAUACCCCGUUGAAUAAGCUGGUAGGUUUGGCCUACCAUAUCUCUCCGUGCCGAUUGGAGGUACCCGUGAGCAUCCGCUGUUGUCCGGGCGAAGAGGGUCAUGGCUCUCCCUUAUAGCUCUAUCAGCCGGUAAAGAGCUGCCAUGCACCUGAUAUUGGUGGAGAUGGUGACCAUGGCGCAUGUGGUGGCUAGCACCUCAAUAUUCCCGACGCGGUCGAGCCAUGCCGGGUCCAGCCGGUUCCUGACGGGGAAAAGGCCGAUCGGGUCGAGCGUGAUCUCCAAGGGAUGCAGCUGGCAGAACUGGGUGAGAAGCUGGAGGGCGGCAGACUCCCAUGUAUCCUCAGGAGCAAGGCCAUAGGCUAUUAUGCCGAAAGAGGGCCAGUCGGGCCGCACAGGGGGAGGAGGUACCACCGCCUGCACUUGGCACGUCUGGAUACCCUGCUCCAGAUAUAACCAUCCGGUGUACAAGGGUGGGGACUGGUAUCCAAACCACUUAAACGUGUCCCACAGAAUCGCGGGGAAACCCUUGAAAUGCAGACAUGUCGACUGGAAAGUACCGUCCGCUCCAAAUAGAACAUGCCCGGGAAUAGCCAUCUAGAACCAAGAAACCGAAACCACGUGAUAUAGACUCCAAGGGUCAGGGGUCGGGCAGAGAUGCAUUCGGCUUUAACCGACAGCAACGGAAGAACUAGAAAUCCUUAGAUCCAAAAAGAACUCUUCCGAACAAGGUUGCUGUUGAGAAGGAAACCUUACAGCUUUUUAGUUAUGACGCAUGCACGGCCUACCUUACACUUAACCAAAAACAACUGCCCGAAACUUUAGGUCUUACGUGGUCAGUGCCGGUGACAAGGCAUCAAUUACGUCUCUCCCUAUAAUAACUAGUCGGUUCUAACAACGUCUCCUAAACGAACGCGGUUAGCGUACCUGCAGAAAACACCAACACACGAACCUUUCGUGCCAGCACCCACGAAAGCGUUCCCAAACAUUACCGCUCACUAUAGGAACGGCACCCAUGCGUUUAAGGCUGCAUGGACAGCACUCAACCGUGGAAAUAGGUUCCCUUUGAAUGGAACCAUAUAACCCUUCGCAUACUCGUGAUGCGGAAUCAGCACACGUAUGACAAACGUGGCGAACCAACCGUGCUGAUAGGUUCGUUGGAAUCGAACCGUACCAACCUUCGUAUGGAGUACAUACGGAACCUGCGCACGUGUGAUAGACGUAGGCGAAAACAACCACGAGGAUAGGGUCCUUUGAAUAGAACUCCCUAUCAACCUUCGCAUGCUCGUGAUGCGGAACUCGGCACACGUAUGAUAGACGUGGCGAAGUGCUGGAAGGGUUAGCAAAAUAACCAAGUAAUUAUUAGUCACCUAAAACAACCCCAAAAUCCCCUAGGGCCUCUCGCACUAAAGCCAUCCUUAACGAUCGUACAAGAUUUUUCAAAAGUUUCUUGCAACUUUUAUCUUUUCAAAGAAGUGUUAGGGCUUGUUGUGUUCUCUGUACUGCUAAACCUGCUCUGGUACCAGCUGUGGUGGAUCCACUUCGGAUUAGCUUGAAUAGACAGGGUUAAGCCGCCUAACAUGCGACACCCAUGCCUAAGCCAAGUUAACACGAAGUGCCGUCGGAUUACAUCCGAUUAACCACUUGAACAGGAUCGAGUUUAGCAAACUCACACGAAAGUGAGUAGUUCCAGAGAAUACAACGAGUCCACUGAGUUAAACAAUUUAACCCUUUAGUUCGGCCACAAAAACCAACAUCAGAGUUUUUACAAGGUUCAAAGGAAAACAACAAAAGGUAAAACCAGUAGCGGAAGCAAUCGUCGGGGUCGGACGUCCCUGGUGAGGCCAACCGGGACAUCACUGAUUCCUCUCCUCGCCGUCCGAGGAAGGAUCCCACUCGACCGUCCAGCCCGGCGGAAGCUGGGGCAGCCAAGCGCCAGCAAAAGAGGGGUCGGAAGCAGCAGCUUCACCUGAAAAACAGGAGCCACAACAAGGCUGAGCUACUAAGCUCAACAAGACUUAUCCGAUAGGAGUAAGCUACUCCACACUUCUAGAUAUGCAGGGCUUUUUGGCUGAGGGGUUUGUUUGCCAAAAGCACUAAGUAAAACCCUAUUUUCAAGUUUUAGCUCCGGUUUUAAGUUCCUUAGCCAGUCUAGGUUUUGCUUCCUAUUCUAAGCAAUCAUAGAACCAAACAAGAGGUAUAGAUAUAUCAACAAACAUGUCAUCAUCAGAUUCCUCAUUUACUCAGGGUGACAAAGCGAUCAGGCAAUCUCAAACUGUGAGAGGCGGACGAAUCGAUUCGAGUUCUUUAACCAUGCAUGGUGAACCUAGCCUCACGACAUCCGCGCACCCGGAGGUCGCUUCCUGUGUCGGCCUUCCCCAUCAAUCCACUAACCCGUGUCGGGCCCAUUUCCUUUGGUGUAAGGUUCCACGGACCCGGCCUCUGCCGUCCUGUGACCACGCUUACCACCACGUGCGACAACCAGCAGGGGAACUCCGUUCCAAGAACAAUGGGGCGACCGCUCACGUCUAGGUUCAAUCCGGUCCUAGGCUUCCUCAUCCCAUACUAAGUAUGAGGCUAGUACUUUCAAACACUUGAUCACGAACACCACCACUGUCGGGCCUUAGCAAGUUUUCAUAGACAGACGGGGCGACCAUCCGUCCACCAAAGAGUUACCAAAACCCUGCCCCGUCCAUCGUCCUUAUAGUUGUAACAGAAAGGUAGAUAUCCAACUCCUACAACUCGCGAGUGACAGGGAAUCACUCGGCUUUUACCGUCUCCUAGUUAAGCAAGCGGCUACUCGGUCCAACAGCUAGUGCUCAGAUCAUGGGGAUAACUAAGUCAUGCAUCUAGGGUUUCAAACAACUCCUAUACGUAAAUGCACAAUCAUGUUACAGAAGGCAUGCGCAAGUCUGGUAAAACACACAGGGUUUUCAUGCAACCGGGGCUUGCCUUCGAGCAAAGAGGAAGGGAACUGCUCGACUUCGGGGGCGACUUCGGCUUCAACGGGCAGGAGCUCAGCUACAGCUUCGUCUUCUGGCGCCGGGUGUAGCUCGUAGAAGCCGUCGGCGAGGUGCAGCUCUACACGAAUGCAAUGCAAAAGUUAGCAUAUACGGUUAUUUCAACAGCAACACUUGCUCGCCUGAGCCCAGAAACUUGCGACAAGGAGCAGGAGGGUAGGUGUUGGAGGUAUGCCCUAGAGGCAAUCAUAGAGAUGAUGAUAUUCCAUUUGUAUCCAUGAUUUGUAUAUUGUGUUCAUUGAAUAUCCAUUAAAGGAUACUUGAAUUGAUUUGCAAUUAUGUGAAUUGUAUGUGAAACUCUUUACUUGUAUGGUUAUUCUAAAGUUGUCCCUAGUCGGAGUUCAUGUGAGGACACACAUGAAUAUUAGACUAGCACAUGUAUUAGUUGAUGACUAUGUUUCACAAGUCAUGGACAUGGAGAUGUUGAACUAAUAAUGUGGACACAUGUGGAGACAUGUGUUAGGACUGACCCAACACGAGAAGUAGUUCUCUCUUUAAACAACAUAUACGCUUUGUCCUUAGACCUGAGAUUGUCGCAUGUAUUCUAGAUGUGGAUCGACCUACUUAGGGGCUAUCAAACGCUACGCCGUAACAGGGUAGUUAUAAAGGUAGCUUUCGGGUUUGUCAAGAAGCAUGCUAUGAGACAUGGUCAAUCAAGAAGGGAUUUGCCCCUCUCUGAUUGAGAGUGAUAUCUCUGGGCCCCUCGAGUGAUCGGAUCCGAAAAUGCAUGGCCAUGCUACGUAUGGUUAAGAGUUAACCUACAAAGGGAUUCCGAAUCACAGGAUCGAGAAAGAGCGGUCGGCUUGAAGCUAGACCAAAUAUCGUGAGGCAAAGGGAAUAGCAUGUAUAUUAUGUUGUGAUGGUUCGUCUGAUAUGAUCUUCGUGUGCGUAUAGGAGUUGGCACGUCUUGCUAGAGGCCGCUACCGACUAUUGGGCCGAGUAGGAGUACUCGGGCCAUGUCUAUACGUAUCCGAACCCAUAGGGUCACACACUUAAGGGGCUGGAAGCCCAAUUCGGAUCUGAUCUGAGUUGGAUUAGGUUUAGGAGUACUAAUGGGCCUCGGAUCCAGAGGCCCGUCAGGAACCCCUAUAAAUAGAGGGGUGGGGGCGCCCUAGGGUUUACACCUUUUGGCGAAACAUACCUGCCGCGCCUCCCACGCCCUCGCCUGUUGCAACUCGCGGAUCUAGCAGUCCGGCUUGCGACGCUUCCUCCCUGCACGUGUGGAUACCUUGGAGGUGUUGCGCCUGCAGCACUUGGACGAGCCAUCGACGAGCCGCCGACGAGCCACGACGAGCCGACGACGAGCCGCGGCACCGGAGGCGAUCUUGCUGUGCACGUGGACGAGCUGCUGAGGAGCUGCUGGACGUGAUCGACUACGUACGACUACGUUGAUCGACUACGUACGACUACGUGAUCGUCUUCACUGCACCGACGCAUAUCUACAUCUUCCGCACCAGUAGUGCGUCGAGUGGUAAUCCCGUGAUCCUUAUACGGCAGUUCUUCCUGGUUAUACGCGGUAGAAAUUUUGAUUUGCGCUAGCGUAGCCUACCUCGUAUCCCAACAGUGGUAUCAGAGCCGUAGCUGCUUAGUUUUGGAUUCGGGAUGUGUGCAUAUGGAGAUAUGCGAGUUCUCUGUUUGAUCUAUGUCCUGAUUUCGUGCCCUUGCUGCAAUGGUAGUGUAACGACAUACUCCUACCGGUCGGUUUCCGCCAUCGGAGUUAAGUGAUACACGUAAACCCAGUUGCAGUGAGGGAAGAUCAAUAUGAUUGGUCAAAUCGAGAUCCAGGGUCAUACGCCAGGUGCAUUAGAUGUGCAAUAGUAGAUAGGAUCUACUGCCGGGGUCGGGAUUUUGCCGUAUGCGUAUGCUUCGGUAAAUCAGCCGUAACUUUUCGGUACGAUCUCGGAUUGGGGCGAUUUCUAUACGAAAAUUGAUCUACAGAAAAAGUUACACAUGAAAUUCAACCGCUUCGCCGUUUUCGGCGAAAUUAGAUUUCCCAAAUUCGGCUUGGAAGAUGGAGUUUCGGGCCUCCGAAGUUUGGAACGUUAGGACGCCUAACUCUCUUUUGCAGGAUGUAUGUAUCUUGUGAUCAGUAUGGCCCCUUGUGUAUGUGAUGCAUGUGUGUAACUCAUUCGUGACCUGCGUGUCGCGCGUACGGCAACACGGCAGGAGCCAUAUGUGUUGUCACUUUAUUGUAUUUAAUGGUCUGCGUACCAAUCUGUGAUGAUCCAAGGAACUAUGUAAUCUUCAUUACUAGAUUCUUUACUAGCUAUUAGGCGUAAUAGCAUGCUCUAGUUCUUGGAGGACUCAUCACCAGGAGGAUGGCGCACAUGGAACAUGGAGAUGGAGAUCACCAUGGUGAACAGGUUCUAUGGAGAUGGAGAUCACCAUAUGAAAAACGGGCCAUACUGUGUCACAACUGUGUGAAUGCUAUUCUGUUUAUGUUUUACUUUCUGCAUGCUGUGAUGUUAGAAGUAGAACGAUCCCUCGCAAAGUUUAAGUUAGUAUGCCCUCCCAACUAAAACUUGCACCGUCCCAUGUCUUGUACAAUUAGUGGUGGGUCUAUGAAAUUAGGGUGCCACUAGUUUUCCUUGACUAGACGGGUUUGUGUCGGACACUUACACGCAUAAGGGUUGGUUAGCUUAACGAGGUCAUCUUAACGGUUAAGGACCUUGGGGCAUAAAGGUUGGGCGCCGAGACAUAGAGAUGUCACCCAACAACAGGAGUCAUAUGUGAUAUGAUUAGCAAAAGUUGCUUACCGAUCUACCUCGUUUGCUAGCGAUGAUGCUAAAGCUCACUAGUAGACUUGUUAGUUGUGGAUCCUAAAUCACUAAGUUUCAAUAGAGGGAUAUUGAUUUUAGUGGGAGUAGAUUCUGUUAAAAUAGUUUAAUGUAAUUUGCUCUAUCAUGGAUACGUUUGUCUUAGUGUAUUUUGCAUUACUUUUGUUGUAGAUUAAAUGGCACCUAGCAACACCACCACAUCGUUUGCUUUGCGUUCGGUCCUUGAGAAGGACAAGUUGAAUGGAACAAACUACUCGGAUUGGAUCCGCAACCUGAGAAUUGUUCUCAGGGCUGAGAAAAAGGAAGAUGUUCUAGACAACCCACUACCAGAAGAACCUGCUGAGGAUGCACCCGCUGCUGCUAAGAAUGCUUACAAGAAAGCAUGUGAUGCUAACCUCGAAGUAAGCUGCCUUAUGCUUGCUUGCAUGGAACCCGAGCUGCAGAUGCAGUUCGAAACAAACCAUGAGGCGCACGAUAUGAUCGUGGCGCUUAGAGACAUGUUCCAAACACAGGCCAGGACUGAAAGGUUCAAUGUGUCUAAGGCCUUUGUUGAGAGCAAGCUAGCAGAAGGCGCAGCAGUAGGACCACACGUAAUCAAGAUGGUUGGUUACACUCAACGGUUGGAGAAGCUAGGCUUCCCACUGGGCCAAGAGUUGGCCACUGAUUUCAUUCUUUCGUCUCUUCCGCCUAGCUAUGGGAACUUCAUCUCGAACUACCAUAUGCAUGGGACGGAGAAGGGUCUGAAUGAGCUGUGUGGUAUGCUCAAGACAGCAGAGGCUGACAUUAAGAAAAGCGCUAGUACCAGCCAUGUGAUGGCGAUACAGAACAAGCCCAGCUUUAAGAAGAAGGGCAAUUCUUGGAAGAAGAAGGGCAAGGCUGGAACGUCCAAGCCAAACCCACCGCCGAAGGCUAAAGCUGGACCUGCUCCAGAUAAAGAGUGCUUUUACUGUCAUGAACUUGGUCACUGGAAGAGAAACUGCAAGCAGUACCUAGCUUCGUUGAAGAACGGCGGAAGUAAGAGUACUUCUACCUCAGGUACGCUUGUUGUUUAUGUUAUAGACAACAUAUUUCUCGCUGAUACAGUUAUUAAUUCUUGGGUAUUUGAUACCGGAUCGGUUGCUCAUAUUUGCAAUUCGAUGCAAGGAAUGAUAAGAAGUAGAAGCGUGGAAAGAGGAGAAGUUGAUUUCCGCGUGGGCAAUAAUGCAAGAGUUGCUGCUUUGACCGUCGGGACGAUGCAACUCCACCUCCCGUCAGGAUUUAUUAUGGAGUUGAAUAAUUGUUAUUUUGUUCCUAGUUUAAGUCGAAACAUUUUGUCUCCUUCAUGCUUGAUGAAGGAUGGUUAUUCAUUUGCGAGUGAAAACAAUGGUUGUGUGAUCUCUAAGAAUAAUAUGUUUAUGGCUUUUGCACCCAUUGUGAAUGGAUUAUUUGUUUUAAAUCUUGAUGGUUCACCUGUCUGUAAUGUAAGUGCUAAAAGGCCUCGGCCUAAUGAUUUGAGUCCUACCUACUUGUGGCAUUGUCGUUUGGGUCAUAUAAGUGAUAAGCGCAUGAAGAAGCUCCAUUCUGAUGGACUUCUAACUUCAUUUGAUUUUGAAUCAUACGAGACAUGUGAGGCUUGCUUGCUAGGCAAGAUGACCAAAACGCCUUUCACAGGAUUUCCUGAGAGAGCAGUAGACUUGUUGGAACUCGUACAUAGUGAUGUAUGCGGACCAAUGAGCACGACGGCUAGAGGAGGAUUCCAAUACUUCAUAACUUUCACUGAUGAUUUUAGUAGAUAUGGCUAUGUCUACUUGAUGAGGCACAAGUCUGAGACCUUUGAAAAGUUCAAGGAAUUUCAGAAUGAAGUUGAAAAUCAGCGUGGCAAGAAAAUUAAGGCCUUACGAUCUGAUCGUGGAGGCGAGUAUUUGAGCCACGAGUUUAGCAAUCAUCUAAAGAGUUGCGGAAUUGUUCCACAACUUACGCCGCCUGGAACACCUCAGAGAAACGGUGUGUCCGAGCGACGUAAUCGAACUUUGUUAGACAUGGUUCGAUCAAUGAUGAGCCAGUCGGACCUACCGUUGUCAUUUUGGGGAUACGCUCUAGAAACAGCAGCUUUCACACUUAAUAGGGUACCAUCUAAAUCCGUAGUUAAGACACCAUAUGAGAUGUGGACUGGAAAGGUUCCUAGUUUGUCUUUUCUAAAGAUUUGGGGAUGUGAAGUGUUUGUCAAGCGACUUCAGUCAGACAAGAUCACACCCAAGUCGGAUAAGUGCAUUUUCGUGGGAUAUCCAAAGGAAACUUUGGGAUAUUAUUUCUACAACCGAUCAGAAGGCAAAGUGUUUGUCGCUCGGAACGGGGUUUUCCUAGAGAAAGAGUUUCUCAAAGGAGAAAAGAGUGGAAAGACAGUGCAUCUUGAAGAAGUUCAAGAUGAGCCAAUCGGGCAAGAAUCAAUGAGUGAUGCUAACGUAGCAGAACAAGUUGAGAUACCCAUGGCAAGAGAAGCACCGCCACAACCACGAAGGUCGGCAAGGCUCCGCGAAAUGCAGGAAAUAUUAUUGUUGGACAAUGAUGAGCCAGCGACAUAUGCAGAAGCAAUGAUGGACCCAGACUCCGAAAAAUGGCAGAGUGCCAUGCAAUCCGAAAUAGAGUCCAUGGGAGACAAUCAAGUUUGGAACUUGGUUGACCCGCCUGAUGGUGUUAAAGCCAUAGAGUGCAAGUGGAUCUAUAAGAAGAAAAAGGACAUGGAUGGAAAUGUUCACAUCUAUAAAGCACGACUUGUCGCAAAAGGUUUUCGACAAGUUCAAGGAGUUGACUACGACGAGACCUUCUCGCCCGUAGUGAUGCUUAAGUCCAUUCGGAUUAUUCUAGCUAUAGCUGCAUAUUUCGAUUAUGAGAUAUGGCAGAUGGAUGUCAAGACAGCUUUCCUGAAUGGAAACCUAGCUGAGGACGUGUAUAUGAUACAGCCCGAGGGUUUUGUCGAUCCGAAAAAUGCUGGAAAGGUAUGCAAGCUUCAGAGAUCCAUUUAUGGAUUGAAGCAAGCAUCUAGGAGUUGGAACAUUCGUUUUGAUGAAGUAGUCAAAGGGUUUGACUUCACCAAGAACGAAGAAGAGUCUUGUGUUUACAAGAAGGUUAGUGGGAGCUCUGUAGUAUUUCUAAUCUUAUAUGUGGAUGACAUAUUACUGAUUGGAAAUAACAUUCCUAUGCUUGAGUCCGUAAAGACUUCACUGAAAAAUAGUUUUUCGAUGAAGGACUUAGGGGAAGCGGCAUAUAUUCUGGGUAUUAAGAUCUAUAGAGAUAGAUCGAGAAGGCUUAUAGGUUUAAGCCAAGAUACUUACAUUGACAAAGUGUUGAAGCGGUUCAGCAUGGAAGAGGCAAAGAAAGGGUUCUUGCCUAUGUCACAUGGCAUACAUCUCAGCAAGACUCAGUGUCCUUCGACUGCUGAUGAGCGGGAUCGCAUGAGUAGAGUUCCAUAUGCCUCGGCUAUUGGAUCUAUCAUGUAUGCAAUGAUAAGUACUCGCCCAGAUGUUUCAUAUGCGCUAAGUAUGACAAGUAGACACCAAUCUGAUCCAGGUGAGAGUCACUGGACAGCGGUGAAAAACAUUCUUAAGUACUUGAGAAGGACUAAAGAUAUGUUCCUCGUCUAUGGAGGUCAGGAGGAGCUCGUUGUAACAGGUUACACCGAUGCUAGUUUCCAAACCGACAGAGACGAUUCAAAGUCACAAUCAGGAUUUGUGUUCACGCUAAAUGGUGGUGCUGUUAGUUGGAAGAGUUCCAAGCAGGAGACGGUGGCCGAUUCUACGACAGAAGCCGAGUACAUCGCGGCUUCGGAAGCCGCGAAGGAAGGUGUUUGGAUAAGGAAUUUCCUCAUUGAGCUUGGUGUGUUCCCGAAUGCGUCCAGCCCAUUGAAUCUCUACUGUGAUAAUAAUGGGGCAAUUGUGCAAGCAAAGGAGUCAAGGAACCACCAGAAGAACAAACACGUAAUGCGGCGAUUUCAUCUCAUUCGAGACUUCGUUAACCGGGGUGAGAUCAAGAUAUGCAAAAUACACACGGAUCUGAACAUUUCUGAUCCGUUGACAAAACCACUCCCGCAGGCUAAGCAUGAUGCGCAUGUAAGAGCUAUGGGUAUUAGGUACCUUCUAGAUUGACUCUAGUGCAAGUGGGAGACUGUUGGAGGUAUGCCCUAGAGGCAAUCAUAGAGAUGAUGAUAUUCCAUUUGUAUCCAUGAUUUGUAUAUUGUGUUCAUUGAAUAUCCAUUAAAGGAUACUUGAAUUGAUUUGCAAUUAUGUGAAUUGUAUGUGAAACUCUUUACUUGUAUGGUUAUUCUAAAGUUGUCCCUAGUCGGAGUUCAUGUGAGGACACACAUGAAUAUUAGACUAGCACAUGUAUUAGUUGAUGACUAUGUUUCACAAGUCAUGGACAUGGAGAUGUUGAACUAAUAAUGUGGACACAUGUGGAGACAUGUGUUAGGACUGACCCAACACGAGAAGUAGUUCUCUCUUUAAACAACAUAUACGCUUUGUCCUUAGACCUGAGAUUGUCGCAUGUAUUCUAGAUGUGGAUCGACCUACUUAGGGGCUAUCAAACGCUACGCCGUAACAGGGUAGUUAUAAAGGUAGCUUUCGGGUUUGUCAAGAAGCAUGCUAUGAGACAUGGUCAAUCAAGAAGGGAUUUGCCCCUCUCUGAUUGAGAGUGAUAUCUCUGGGCCCCUCGAGUGAUCGGAUCCGAAAAUGCAUGGCCAUGCUACGUAUGGUUAAGAGUUAACCUACAAAGGGAUUCCGAAUCACAGGAUCGAGAAAGAGCGGUCGGCUUGAAGCUAGACCAAAUAUCGUGAGGCAAAGGGAAUAGCAUGUAUAUUAUGUUGUGAUGGUUCGUCUGAUAUGAUCUUCGUGUGCGUAUAGGAGUUGGCACGUCUUGCUAGAGGCCGCUACCGACUAUUGGGCCGAGUAGGAGUACUCGGGCCAUGUCUAUACGUAUCCGAACCCAUAGGGUCACACACUUAAGGGGCUGGAAGCCCAAUUCGGAUCUGAUCUGAGUUGGAUUAGGUUUAGGAGUACUAAUGGGCCUCGGAUCCAGAGGCCCGUCAGGAACCCCUAUAAAUAGAGGGGUGGGGGCGCCCUAGGGUUUACACCUUUUGGCGAAACAUACCUGCCGCGCCUCCCACGCCCUCGCCUGUUGCAACUCGCGGAUCUAGCAGUCCGGCUUGCGACGCUUCCUCCCUGCACGUGUGGAUACCUUGGAGGUGUUGCGCCUGCAGCACUUGGACGAGCCAUUGACGAGCCGCCGACGAGCCACGACGAGCCGACGACGAGCCGCGGCACCGGAGGCGAUCUUGCUGUGCACGUGGACGAGCUGCUGAGGAGCUGCUGGACGUGAUCGACUACGUACGACUACGUUGAUCGACUACGUACAACUACGUGAUCGUCUUCACUGCACCGACGCAUAUCUACAUCUUCCGCACCAGUAGUGCGUCGAGUGGUAAUCCCGUGAUCCUUAUACGGCAGUUCUUCCUGGUUAUACGCGGUAGAAAUUUUGAUUUGCGCUAGCGUAGCCUACCUCGUAUCCCAACAGUAGGGAGGUUCAAGAGAGCUGGUGGUGAUCAAGAGGCAAGGGUUGGAAAGGAACUUAUGACCUGAUCCUUGAACUAGAGGAUGUGGUAUACUCGGGAUCCUCAGACGCAAGCGCUGAAGGGUUCCUAAAUUUUACACAUACACCCUCGGGUUGAAGAAAAGAUCACAGUCGGACCCUCGGGCGAGGCGGAUAAGGGUUGGCGGAACAGAUAGGGUCGGGCGAGACGGAACCGGGGUCGGGCGGAUAGGAGGGGUCGGGCGAAGCGGACUGGAGUUGGCAGCUUACCUUCUUCCUAAAAGGAAGGCUUGGGGUCGGGAAGAAGCAGACUUGGGUGGAGGGACUAAAGCUUUGAACAACGGCUAAGACCGGAAACGCUACGGCGGCAGCGGUGCUUCUUGCAGAUCACAAGAGAGCUUUUACGCAGCACGGAGGAGCAAGCGGCUGGGUGACUUGGAGAAAACUGAGGGAGAAUCUGAGAGCCGAGUGUGGCGGAACCACCUCGGAUUAGCUUGAUUAACCAGGGUUAAGCCGCCUAACAUGCGACACCACUGCCUAAACUGAGUUAAUACGAAGUGCCGUCGGAUUUCGCCCGAUUUAACCACUUAAACACGAUCGAGUUCAGCAACCCACACGAAGGUGAGCGGUUACAGAGAAUACAACGAGUCCACGGAUUUUUGAACAAGUUUUACUCAUUUGGUUCCACCAUAAAAUCCAACAUUAGGGUUUUACAAGUUUUCAAGAAACAACAGAGAAAACACUAGCGGAAGACUUCGUCGGGGUCGGACGUCCGGGCGAGGCCAGCCAGAACAUCACUGAAUCCUCUCCUCGCCGUCCGAGGAGGGGUCCCACUCGACCGUCCAGCCUGGCGGGAGCUGGGGCGGCCAAGCGCCAACAAGGGAGGGGUCGGGAACUGCAACUUCACCUGAAAAACAUGAGCCACAACAAGGCUGAGCUACUAAGCUCAACAAGACUUAACCGAGGAGGAGCCAACUACUCUUCCAACUAGACAUGCAAGGCUUCUUGGCUGAGGGGUUUGAUUUGCCAAAAGCACUAAGUAACCUAUUUUCAAGUUUUAGCUUCGGUUCUAUAUUUACUUACCAGUCUAGGUUGUGCAACCUAUUCUAAGCAAACAUCGAGCCAAACAGGUGUGUAGGUAAAAACAACAACAUUGCCAUUAUCAGAUUCCUCAUUUACU